RNAcentral lists this long non-coding RNA (57273 nucleotides) under Sorghum bicolor (sorghum). Its description in RNAcentral is "long non-coding RNA (SBIC_LNC012934)". The record is from RNAcentral. Lineage: Eukaryota; Viridiplantae; Streptophyta; Magnoliopsida; Poales; Poaceae.
GCACGUUCACUCACACAUGCUACUUCUACUCCGGAAGUACCAUCCACAUAUAUCCACCCAUUUCCAUCCCCAGAACCACCCAAAAAUAUUCUACUCCUAAUCCAGGAGAGAAUAGCCAAAAACAUUUCUGUUUUCCCCUGUGAAAUAAAAGCUCAAGUUAUCUUGGUUACUACCACUUGCUAUAUUAUAUCAGGAGAUGAGUGCUCUAAAAAAAAAGAAGAAAAAAAAAUAUAAAUACGAGGAAAUAAAAAGGGGCAAGUGCCCGGAACCUCGAAAGAAAAGAAAAAAAAAGCGAGACGAGAGGUAAAAAUGGACAAGUGUCCGACAGUAGAAUUAGUGUCUAAGUCGUUAAAGGAUAUGAUAUGGGAAGGUUGAGCUGCUGUUUAUCUGUUCCUAGAGAUGCUAGAAAUCUAGAGAAUUUUAUCUUUGAAAAUCUUUAAAAUGUUGCAUGAUGAGUUCCUGUAUGAUGAGAGUUUAAAUUCCUACCACAGCCAUAUAUACAAGCUUGCUAGACUUUGAGCCACACAUUUACUUUUUACUGCUUAUGAGCAUUGAGUGUGGUCAAGCUGUGUAGACCCUUAGGAGCUUGUCAUGUGGUUAAAUCAAGAUUCACUUGCACGUUCACUCACACAUGCUACUUCUACUCCGGAAGUACCAUCCACAUAUAUCCACCCAUUUCCAUCCCUAGAACCACCCAAAAAUAUUCUACUCCUAAUCCAGGAGAGAAUAGCCAAAAACAUUUCUGUUUUCCCCUGUGAAAUAAAUGCUCAAGUUAUCUUGGUUACUACCACUUGCUAUAUUAUUUCAGGAGAUGAGUGCUCUAAAAAAAAGAAGAAAAAAAAAGAAAAAUAUAUAAAUACGAGGAAAUAAAAUGGGGCAAGUGCCCGGAACCUCGAAAGAAAAGAAAAAAAAGUGAGACGAGAGGUAAAAAUGGACAAGUGUCCGACAGUAGAAUUAGGGGUACAAGAUACCCACCUGAGAGGAAAGAAAAAGAAAAUACAGAGCAUCUCAUUCUCCCAAAAAGUUUCAAAAGAGCAAGGAAGGUAUGUAUCCCCUCAAAAGAGCAAAAGUAGAAUUAGACUUUCACCAUUGUUAUCACCAUCAUCACCAUACACCAUUCAUUCGCCACAGAUGCACAUCUUGAUUUGACUUAUUGAUUUGUUUCUUUGGAUCCAUGGUUUGACUAUGCAAUAAAUGUCUUGUAAGUAUGUAUUAGCUGUCUCCCACCUAUGAGCUCCAGAUAUCAAAACCUUAUAAGAGUAGGGUGAGAGAGAAGGCAAUGCCACUAUGCCUUAUACCACAAAUACCACAUACUUUGAGAGAAGGCAUAUACCAAUACUGCCUUGUUAAGGAUCGAGAAAUACCACAAAAGAGAGACUAGAGAGAGUCAUACAAGGAAUCUCUGAGUUUUAUUUGAAAAUCUGCAAAAACUCCAGAGCCAUAGUUAAUCGAAGAACAAGAGACAUGGUGCUUGACUAGACUGUUCUAUCUUUUAACUACUCAAGACAGAAGUGACGAUUACAAGUCCCAUGGUGAAAGGUAAAUGAGUAAGUUUUAAGUCUUAACAUUUUACUCUAACCAGAGAUGAGAUCUUGUUUAAACGCAUGUGUAUCUUUAAGUUAUGAAAACACUGCAGAAACUCUUGAGUCCAUCUUUGCUCAGGGACGAGCAAAGGUUAAGCUUGGGGGAGCUUGUUGACGGUCCUUAAUGCUCACAUUUAACCAUCAACUAAUCAUGGAAAAUGAUCUAAAUGGAACCAACACUUAGACUUAGGGUUUUAUCUGACAGAAUUCCACGAGUUUUGGUGUUUGUCUAUUUCUGCAGGGGGUUAUCAGGAAAUAAGGAAGAAAGGCCCACACGUCGGGUUUACAUAGAGAUAUUAAUGUGCCGUGCAAUUUUCUACCAUCUAGAAGACUCCAGAAGCCACGGGAACGAACGGGAGACGUAAUGGAGCCGGGCACUGGGCACCCGCCCUCCCUUACUGGGCGCCCGCCCUCCCCCCGGACCAAACAGAGUCCAAUUCGGGGACAACACUCCACCGACCUAAUACUUCAAGGAAAACCACACGAUCAAUGUCGGUUUGAUCCGACGGCCCAGAUUCACUUGAAGGGACUAUAAAACCAGACCCCCCUAGCCCCUGGAGAUCAUACCUCUUCUACAGAAUCAAAGCUAGGGUUUCAAUUCUUCAUCCAAGUAGAGAGGAUCCCUCUAGUUCUUCUAGUUGUACCUCUAGUUCAUCUAGAUCUAGUUCUAGUUCAUCUAGUUCUAGUUCUAGUUCCUCUAGUUCUAGUUCUAGUUAGUUCUAGUUGUAAUCUAGAAAAUAGGGAGAGAGAAGAGGAGAGUGGAGGAGGAGCCGGAUCUGUCAGAUCUUCCUCAAUAUUAUACUUUUGCAACAACUGGUUCGUUCUUCAUCGUUCUCCAGGUUCUUCAAUUCAUAAUUCCUGAGUUCUUUAAUUACUUUUAUUUACAUUCAAGUUAUUUAUUGGAUUCCCGCUUGCAUCAAGUGCUCUAGUCUUUAUAACGCUAGAGUAGUAAUUAAUAGAUUAGACGUGGUGUUUAGUCUUGCAAUUACCUGGAAUUGCAACCAAUCCUGCGGAUUGUUGUGGUAGCCUUAGGGUAGUGACAGCCCUAACGGUCGACGUAUUCCACCUCGUUCGGAUCGGUGUUUGUAGGACCGUAGUCAGACCUUCCUAGCCCCCUUCUCAUCUCUUUUUGUGGUUAGUGCUCUGAUGUCCCGAUAUAGAUAAUCUUGAAGUAAUUCUUGAUUCUUAGAUCAACUAGAGAACUCUCAGGAAACUUCCUCUCUUCCCACCAAAAAUAAUUAUAUAGUUAUCCUUGGGCGAUCUUGGAUCUUAAUUAGUACACUCACGUUCUCUGUGGAAAAUCGAUACUCUGGAAUACUCCCGGGUGAAAGCUACAUCGGUAUCCGUGCGCUUGCGGAUUUUUCUGUUUGCGUUUAAAAUACCCAACAAUGAUCUCUAACAACAUGGUAUUCAAAUGUUUUUUCAUUCUAAGUAAUUUAGUUUGUCAUUCGACCAAGUUUGACCGAAACUCAUCUUGGAUUUUAAACACAGGUGCCUAGGAUUGGCUAAAAUUUAUCCAAAUGGAAAAAUGGACAAUGUAUCAAAUGUAGAUCUUGAUGAUCUCUAACAACUUUGUAUUAAAAAUUGUUUCAUUUGAAGUCAUCAAAUGGGUCAUUUGACCUAGUUUGAAGCACUCAAUUUAGAAUUUUGAAAGAAUUCAUAGCCACGCACCGGUUUUUCGAACCCAAGAGGGUCUCGACUGAAAAAGUCAUGAAUACCAAUUUUGCUCCACUCAUCAAGAUCUACAUUUAAUAUAUAGACCAUUUUUGCAUUUGACAAAGUGUUGGGAAGGUGUAGUUGAAAAUCUACAAUUCCACAUAUAGUUUCAUAUAGUUUAUGUGAGAUUCAGGAUUUGGUGAUUAUUGUUUUCUUAAACUUUCUCAAAUGCAAAAAUGGUCUAUAUAAAAAGUUUGGAUCUUGAUGAUCUCUAACAACUUGGUUUUCAAAUGUUUUUCAUUUUAAGUGAUUUAGUUUGUCAUUUGAACAAGUUUGACCAAAACCCGUCUUGGAUUUUAAACACAUGUGCCUAGGAUUGACUAAAAUUUAUCCAAAUGGAAAAAUGGACAAUGUAUCAAAUGUAGAUCUUGAUGAGCGCUAACAACUUUGUGUACAAAACUGUUUCAUUUGAAGUCAUCAAAUGGGUCAUUUGACCAAGUUUGAAGCACUCAAUUUUGAAUUUUUAAAGAAUUCAUAGCCACGCACCGGUUACCAUAACCCUAGAUGGCCUCAACUGGAAAAGUCAUGAAUACCAAUAUUGUUCCACUCAUCAAGAUCUACAUUUAAUAUACAGACCAUUUUUGCAUUUGACAAAGGGUUGGGAAGGUAUAGUUGAAAAUCCACAAUUCUCACAUAUAGUUUCAUAUAGUUUAUGUGAGAUUCGAGACUUGGUGAGUAUUGUUUUCUUAAAAUUUCUCAAAUGGAAAAAUGGUCUAUAUAAAAAGUUUGGAUCUUGAUUAUCUCUAACCACUUGGUAUUCAAAUGUUUUUCAUUUGAAAUAAUUUAGUUUGUCAUUUCACCAAGUUUGACCAAAACCCAUCUUGGAUUUUAAACACAUGUGCCUAGGAUUGGCUAAAAUUUAUCCAAAUGGAAAAAUGGACAAUGUAUCAAAUGUUGAUCUUGAUGAUCUCUAACAACUUUGUGUUCAAAAUUGUUUCAUUUUAAGUCAUCAAAUGGGUCAUGUGACCAUGUUUGAAGCACUCAAUUUUGAAUUUUGAAAGAAUUCAUAGCCACACACCGGUUUUUGGAACCCUAGAGGGUCUCGACUUGAAAAGUCAUGAAAACUAAUAUUGUUCCACUCAUCAAGAUCUACAUUUAAUAUACAGACCAUUCUUGCAUUUGACAAAGUGUUAGGAAGCUGUAGUUGAAAAUCCACAAUUCUCACAUAUAGUUUCACAUAGUUUAUGUGAGAUUUAAGAUUUGGUGAGUAUUGUUUUCUUUAACUUUCUCAAAAGGAAAAAUGGUCUAUAUUAAAAGUUUGGAUCUUGAUGAUCUCUACUUGGUAUUCAAAUGUUUUUCAUUUUAAGUAAUUUAGUUUGUCAUUUGACCAAGUUUUACCAAAACCCGUCUUGACUUUAAACACAUGUGCCUAGGAUUGGCUAAAAUUUAUCCAAAUGGAAAAAUGGACAAUGUUUCAAAUGUAGAUCAUGAUGACAUCUAAAAACUUUAUAUUCAAAAUUGUUUCAUUUGAAGUCAUCAAAUUGGUCAUGUGACCAAGUUUGAAGCACUCAAUUUUGAAUUUUGAAAGAAUUUAUAGCCACGCACCGGUUUUCAGAACGCUAGAGUGUCUCGACUUGAAAAGUCGUGAAUACCAAUACUGUUCCACUCAUCAAUAUCUACAUUUAAUAUAUAGACCAUUUUUGCAUUUUGUUGGUGCAAAAGUAGAUCUGCAAACACAGAGGGCUAAUACCCGAUUCAACGUUAAGGCGUGCCAGCCGAUUUGACCUACAAUCGACAAAGGUAGUAACUCGAAUACUUUGGUCCCGACAACAGCGAUGCGCCCGGAUGUUGUGGCCAAGAGGUAUUCAUGCGGAACUUGAGAAUUCGCCGAGGUUGACUCGAAGAAUUCCAAAGAACUCGUAGUAAAAGGAAAAUAUGCAAGUUGACGAAGUCGUCGAAAAAGUAGAUGUUGGAAUAGAUGUAAAAACUUGUGUUGGAUUGAUUGUGUAUAUUCAUUACAUCGCCAAGGGGCUUAUAUUUAUACCCUGUUCAAAAGCGUUACAACCAGACACAACUAGGUCUCCAAUUCCAAAUUGAACGAAAUCCGUAUACAAAACAAACUCUAAUAACUAUGGAAAACAUUAAAUUAUGUCCCACAACCGAUCGGUACACCACCACGACUCGAUCGACAAUUCAUGCGCCUCUCCUUGUGACCAUCGGCGAAUCACCUUCUGUCGGCAUCGGCAAUCAUCUACAUCGGCAUAGAUCAAUCACCACCCAUGGACUUGGCUGCAUCCUGCUGUUUCUCCAUCGGCACUAACCCCAUUGGCAACUCCUUUGAUAACCAGUCACCACUCUUUCAUCUACCGAUCUAUAUCUCAUUGACUCCUAGAUACACGUCCAAAGACACGUGUCUAAAAACGGUGUCAACACAUGCCCCCCAAAUUCGGAGUAUAAAAUCAUUAAUGCUCCGAAAUUCUCCUCAGUAAUGAUGCUUUUCCGCAAUUACUCCUUUCUGUCAGUAAUUAAUUACCAAAUCAAAACAACCUUAGUCUGGUUCUCCAACAUGCUCCUCGAAUCUCUCAACUUCUCGAACCGAAUCUCCCAAACAUACGUUCAUCGGCAACAUUUCUGUUAGAGAAGACUGCCGAUGAACCGACCAGGAGAUCUUGCACAGUAAGAUAUCUCCAAAAUCAUGACCGCUUGCUGUCAAAUCACCUACGUAAUGCUUUGAUUACUGUGUGAACAGUUACCAUAUCCACCUGAAGAGAUAAGUCAAAAUUGCCCCUGCCCUCUUUGUCCUAUAAAUACUUCCUUCUCCGGUACUCUUUCUCCAUCUUGUUGUUGACACUAGCUAACACCAAUUAGAUACUAGGUUGUCAUCCCCAGCAUGGUGCCAGAGUGUACAAAGGUAUUUAUAAAUAUGGAGGCUCUCUAGAAAAUAAUCUAUUCUAUCCGCAAGCGCACAGAUAAAACACCUCAUUGUAGCAUUUCACUAGGAUAAGUAUUCUAGGUAUCAUUAUUUAUAAUUUUGCUUAAGAGAACAAAAAGGAUGAAAUUAAAAUAAGGACAAAAUCUAUCAAGGCAUAGACUAGAGAUAAACUUGCAAGAACAUGAUUACUAAUGAGAAACUCAUCACACAGUCACUUACUUUGGAAAGGGGUAAACCAUAAAGAUAAUGAUAAUGAAUUAUAAGUUCAUGGGUAAAUAACACAGCGAUUAGAAAAUAGACUACUCCUCAUAUAUGUAGGUGACGUCUGAUUAGCUAGAGAAUGGAUUCAAAGUUAUCUACUAUCUACUAAGUCUCAAUCUACUCUAGUUAUCUACAAGAUCAUGUAUAGCAUAAAAGACUCUUCAUUCAUGUAUAAGGAACAUUGCUAAAGUAAAUCAGAACAUCGUAAGACUUACUCCGCAAUACAAAUUUUGCCUGUCCUAUCGACGGAGGGUGGACUAUAUAAGAAUCAACGAAGUUGUCACUAUCGCGAACGACCACACAACCCCGCCAAUAGGAUACAUUUGCAGGUAAAUAACAUCUAAGCACCAUGCCCACAUGUGAUCUACCACUUAACUCCCUCGAGUCAUAAGCUAAGCGCUUUGCAAACUUAUACAUAAACUCAUUAUCAAUCAUAACUAUACCAAAUAUAGAACUAGAGCAAACUAAGAGCAUAAUAAAUAGAGACAUAAUGUAAUUAGAACAAAUUAUUAGAGAAAGAUAUGAAUAAUACCAAUCUUUAUUACCAAAGAUCCGAAUCCAGAGCGUAGUGCUCUACUUCUCUAAUUGCUAUCUAAUCAAACCUCUAAACUGAAGGAUUAGGGAGUAGCUAAUUCUAAUUCUCUGUGGGAGAGAAGCUCUAAACCCUAACUUUGAUGGAUACCUCUGAUAAUGAUUUCUCCUCUUCUCUUCUCUCCCCCAGGGCUGGAGAGGCCUUGGUUAUAUAGUCCUUUCAAGUGAAUUUGGGUUGUCGAAUCAAACCGACAUUGAUCGCACGGUUUUCCUUGAUCCUUUAGGUCGGUGGAGCACGAUCCAAGAGUUUGGUUCGGAUUGGCCCCCAGACCUGGGCGGGCGCCCAAGGGGGGAGGGCGGGCGCCCUGCCCCCGAGCCCAUCCGGUCUCUCGUUCGUUCCCGUGGCUUCUGGACUCUUCUAGAUUGAGGAAAAUUGCGCGGCACGUAAUUAUCUCGUUGUAAACAUGACAUGUGGGCCUUCUCUCCAUAUUUUCUGAUAUCCCCCUGCAGAAAUAGAUAAACACCAAAGCUCGUGGAAUUCUGUCAGAUAAAACCCUAAUUCUAGAUGUUUGGUGCAUAUUGAUCCUUUUCCAUGUUUAUUUGAUGGUUAAUUUUAGUACUUAAGGACCGUCAACACUUGUCAUUCUACAUCCUCAAACUCACCUUCCUGGCGGUGGCACUGUUUGAGAAACUCAAGGACUCCGGCAAGGAUCUCCUCCAACAAUCUUCCGAGUCUUCGAUCCCUUCCUCCUCCCGGGAAGAAAUGGCCAUCAACUUCGUCGUCCCUGAGGUCAACUCAGCAUCCCCUUUCUUCUUUUCACCAUAUUGUUGAUCUUUCACACAAUUAUUUACUUGGUAUUUUCUUUCUUUCUCUUCCCUAUCUUUUCAACCUUCAAACCUUUAGGAAUUGGCCGAGAAAAUUGCUAUUCCCACCGAUCAACCCCACUUUCAAUGCCUUGGUCCAUUGGGAAACCCAGAUCCUACCGAUUUGAUAAAUGUAGAAACAAAUAGGAUCCCCUUUAGAGCUGAGAACUUCUCAUUAGAUCUGUGGAAAGACACCUUUCGAUCCUAGCCUAGUUCUACUAAGGGGUGGAAAGACUGGUUCCUGAGAAUCGGCAACUCAAAUGAAGUCCAAUGGGGUGAGUGUUGACGGUCCUUAAGUAUCAAAUUUAAUUAUCAAAUAAACAAAGAAAAGGAUCCAAAUGAAAUCAACAUCUAGACUUAGGGUUUUAUCUGACAGAAUUCCACGAGUUUUUGUGUUUGUCUAUUUCUGCAGGGGGUUAUCAGGAAAUAUGGAAGAAAGGCCCACACGUCAGGAUUACAUAGAGAUAUUAAUGUGUUGCGCAAUUAUCUUACAUCUAGAAGACUCCAGAAGCCACGGGAAGGAAGCGGAGGCCUAACGGGGCAAGGUACUGGGCGCCCGCCCAGUUGCCCUGGGCGCCCGCCCUCCUGCCGAGCCCAAUCAGGACUCUGUUUCGGGGAAGAUCUCCACCGACCAAAAGGAUCAAGGAUAACCGUUCAAUCUAUGUCGGUUUGAUCCAACGGCCCAUAUUCACUUGAAUGUACUAUAAAACCAGACCCCCUGGCCCCUGGAGGAGAGAGCCUCUCAACCAUAAUUCAUUAUUCUCAAGGGAGAAGAAGCCUCUGAUCAAGAUUAGAGCCACCACAUCAAUUAGACAUCUAGAUUAGCAUAGCUACAUAGGAUUAGAACUAGAAGGAGUCAAUCUUCGAUUGGUUUCCGGAUCUGUCAAGAGGACUCUUGGUAAUUCUCUAAUUGUGCUUCUAAUUGUUCUUCUAAUUAUCUUUGUUCUUCAAUAUUAUGAAUAUGACUUUGUUCUACUUCAAUAUAUUGCUUAUGACUUUGCUCUACUUGCUUAUAUUCAAGAUUAUAUUGUUCUUAGUUUAUCAUAGUUAUGUACUUGGCUUAGUUAGAUUGGAUAUAUAUACAUGCUUAGGAUCAUAUAGCGUUUAUCCAUCGGAUCCAUGGGUAAAUGAUAGAUAUUGUGUAGGCGUGGUGCUUAUACCAUAUUUUAUCUGCGAUUGUACCCAAUAUGCCAGAUCGUGGGGUAGUUCGUGAUAGUGACAGCUUCAUUGAUUCUUAUAUAGUCCCCCUCUCGUGUAUUGGGCUGGCAGAGCAAUAUUAUUACAUGGGAGUGAUUGCUAUGUUUCUCAUUUACCUUGCUAAUAUCACUAUGCAAAGGCGUAGUAUUGUCUCGCAAUGAUUGCUAAGUAUGCUUGCACUAACUAUGAUAAUGCUAGACUAUAUAGUUGAGAAUAACUUAGGAAAUAUUCUUGUAGUUCGUUCUAAUUCCAUGCUAAUGACUUUCUAGAGUAUCUAAUUGAGGUGCUUAUCAUAUUUAUAUGUGGCUAAGUUAUGAUCAGAUUAAUUAUCUUUGUCACUAUCAUUAUUUCAUAUAUCCUUUAUGUGACACUUACCCCUGUAUGAAAGAGUUAGAUACAAUGUUCUCAAUUAUACAUGCAAUGAUAGAUACUCAAUCUCAUAUUAUAUUCUGUAAUCAAUAUUGAUGAUUGUUAAUCCCUUCCCAGUGGUAAAAAUAUAAAUAACGAUACUUGGAAUACUUCCCGGUUAAAAUGCUACAUCGGUAUUAAUCUGUGCGCUUGCAGAUCCCAUUCAUUAUUUAUUUAGAAGAGCAAUUGCAUAUUUCAAUACCACGUCUCUCAUGUCACGCUGGGGAUGACAACUUGGCUUAAGUGGUAUGAGGGAUAGGUUUGGCAUUUUUGGCACCGUUACUAGAAUUAGAAAACUAAGUCUACUUUUGGUAAUGAUGUUAAGAAUACAUAACAAGCAUUUUUGGCGCCGUUGCCAGGGAAGGUUGAUUACUAAUCAGGAAUGAAUAAAGGAUUUUGAGUUAUCAUUCGCAUCACUAAUAUGAUUGAGCUUAUCUAUUCUCUUAUACACUUUUACCCCAAUAUUUUCUAUUUUAACUUAUGCAGGGGAAUGUAUGAAUAGAAGACAUCUUCUAGGAAAUUUUGUUGACAAUCCCGAAGCAUUAUUCAGAAAGACAAGAGCCAAGCUCAAGAAGAGAUCAUCAACACUUCAGCAAGAAGCUUCAUCCAAUCAAGAAGAUCACCGGAACUUGUCUUCAGAGUUCGAAGCCAUGGCGAACAAAUCAAUCUGCGAGUUCUCAGCUCCCACUAUGGACAAUAUCCACACUGGACCUACUGCAGAGAUCGAUGACAACUUUGAGCUCAAGCCUGGACUUAUCAACAUGGUGCAAUCCAACCAGUUCUGUGGGAAGGCACACGAAGAUGCUAGUGCUCAUCUCCAACACUUCCUGGAGAUUUGCAGCACAUUUACCAUAUCAGGAGUUUCCAGAGAUGCUAUACUACUUCGCCUCUUCCUAUUCUCACUAUUAGGGAGAGCGAAGCAGUGGUUCUACGCUACAAAGGAGAAGAAUACUACGUGGGCACUCUGCUCAACAAACUUCCUGGCUAAGUUCUUUCCCAUGGGCAAGACCAAUGCUCUCCGUGGGAAGAUUACAAGUUUUCAGCAACAAAAUAAUGAAUCUGUUCCAGAAGCAUGGGAGCGCUUCCAAGACUACAUCCUAGAAUGUCCCCAUCAUGGAAUGGAGAGUUGGCUAUUGAUGCAGACGUUCUAUCAUGGGCUCGGCAACAGUGCCCGAGAAACCAUGGAUGCUGCAGCUGGAGGAGCAUUCUUAUCACUUACCAUACCAUAAGCCACAGCUCUUGUGGAGAAGAUGGCGUCCAACCAAGGCUGGAAUGAAGAGAGGACCCAGACACGCAAGAGAGGUGGAGGUAUGCAUCAGCUCAAGGAGGUAGACAUGCUGUCUGCAAAGCUAGACCUGCUCAUGAAGAAGCUCGAUGAUAGAGUUGGAGAUAAGAAGGAAGUUAUGCACAUCUACGACUCUCACAUGACUUGUGAGGAGUGUGGAGAUACUGGACACUCAGGCAAUCACUGCCCUGAGAUGCUUGAGGAUGUGAACUACAUCAACAAUAACAACAACAACUACUACAACCGUCCUCAACAAAAUCAAGGUUGGAAUCAACAGAGGCCUAACUACUCAGGUAAUUAUCAAGGUAACAAUUCUUACAACAAUAAUAAUAAUUUUCCACCUCUGAGAGAGUUAGUGCCUAAUCAAGGAAAGCUAAUGGAUAACCUAUCUAAGAAAUUGGCAUCUAAUGAUAAAAUGCUAGAAAAUAUAAAUAAUAGAAUGGAUAAUUUCUCUACUACCAUGAAGAAUCAAAUUAGCUUUAAUAAAAUGAUUGAAUCUCAAUUAAAUCAAAUAGCUACUGCUGUUCCUGCUACUAACCCCGGUAUACCAUCACAGCCGGAAGGAUUAGAAUCUGCAAAUCUUGUAGACAUGUUUGAUGCAGGUAAUUGGAGUAACCCCAUCACUGAAUUCACUACUGACCUUCUACCGAUCAAGAGAGGUGAUCCAGGACACCCCGUCAUCCCGAUCACCAUCGGCAUGGUGGACGUCCCAGAAGCACUCUGCGACUUUGGCUCCAGUGUCAACAUUAUGCCCAGGGUACUCUAUGAAAAAUUCUUUACAUAUCCUUUAUUAGAGACAACCAUGUGUUUGUAGUUUGCAGAUCAGGCAUUAAGUUUUCCAAAAGGAAUAUUGAAGAACCUUUGUGUCCGAGUUGGUACCUUUUACGCCCUAGCAGACUUCGUGGUGAUAGAGACCGGUAAUGAUGAGAGAGCACCUAUCAUCCUAGGGAGGCCAUUCUUGAACACCUCGGGAGCUGUCAUCUACGCUAGUGCUGCCAAGAUCAGUUUCUACAUCAAAAGGAGGAAGGAGACAUUUUUCUUCAGGAACAAGACUACACAAAUCUCAGAUCAAUCCAGACAUAAAUCAAGGAAGAGGACCAACAGGAGGAACAGUAACAAGCAAGUGUGGACCGAGUCAGCUAAGAUGGUCACUGCAGUUCAUGGAGGCCAAGAUCAUCAACUUAAGUCACCAUUUUUGACCAAGAAGGACGACCCAGGAAUGCCAAGCAUCUAUUGCUCCAUAAAUGGAAACAACUUCUACAAGACGACUUGCGACACCGGAUCGGGCGUCAACAUAAUGGCUGCAGUCGCCUAUCGGCUCUUGUUCGGAACCAUGCCCCCAAAACCAACAUACAUUCAGCUCCAGAUGGCAGAUCAGACAUUUCGAGAAGUUAAAGGAACAGUAACUGAUGUCCCAGUCAAAAUAGACGAUCAUUUUGUCUACACAGAGUUUCAGGUUAUUGACAUGGGAGAAGAUGAGUACGAUCCACCCAUCAUCCUUGGAAGACCGUUCCUCAGCACCGUUAAAGCAAUUAUCUACAUUGGAACUGGAGAAGUCCAUAUGCACUUCCCCUCAGAGAAGGUACGCCGCUAUUUUACUAACCCUAAUUAUAUCUUUGAAGAAUCUAAGCAGGUAAGAAAACGACGCAACCGCAACCAAAGGAGGCAGAUCAUCAAGGACGGAUGGGCAGACUAUGAAGGAGAAGUUGUAAGGUCAGAAGACGUAGAAUUUAAACAGAAUUAUCCAGAGGAGACCGAAGCACCGAGUCAGGUAUGGAAAGAGAAGAUAACUAUACAUGAAGAGGAGGUGCCCCGGAAGUACCGACUCCACCACCCAACGAAUCCCAGGACAAUUGAGAAAGAGGAGAGUCCCGUUCGGAGGACUUAAAAAUACCGAACGCCUUGACAAGAGGUAAACUUGGUAGUUAUCUUUUUCCCUUUCAAUUAUUUAAAUAGUUUGCUUAGUUAAUCAUGUUUAUACCAUCCUAAAAAAAGAAAAUAAAAUUGUGAAAAACAGUAAGCCCCAUGUGAGUAUACGAGUGGCAUAAAACCCUAAGUACAUUCACUGUAGUGGCAUAAAAAUAAAAUAAAAAUUUCUUUUCUGCUUUAUAAAAUGAAAAUAUAAAAAUAGGGAGUAAUAUUUAUUAAGGAGACUCAACAUGAUAAAGGCUAGAUAUUUAUGCUAACACUUAAUCAAUUCCACAAGCUUUGUUGUCUAUUUGAGCUCCACAGAAUUUAAGAAUCAAGAAGACUAGCAGACGGAGGACAUUCUAAUCGCUGUCAGAAUGCUACUGACUUUCAAAUACACCUCUGCCACCUGCUAGCUACAUCAAGAGAAAUUACGACAAAAUUCUGCUUGGGGGAGAGCACCCCCAUUUAUCCCGAUAAGUAUUUCUAUCUAUCUUUAUACUUAUACUAUAUUAAAAUAUAGAUAUACAUAACUAUGGAAAACCAAAUAAAGAUUUUAUGCUUAUAUAUAUAUCUUUUGCUUAGUGUGUUUAAUAAAUAAAUAAAGAGGCUAUGCUAAUCUGUAUCUGAAUAAAACUCUAGCAUGGAUAUGAUGAAUAGUUGCUCUGCCUAAUUUGCACAUUUUAAGUUCUCUCUCAAGUUUAGACAUAACUGUUAUAAUUUAAAGCUUGCUCUAGACCUAAACUUGUGGGAUGAAAACUUGAUCUGAAGUCUAAGUUGUUAACGGAUAUGAUAUGGGAAGGUUGAGCUGCUGUUUAUCUGUUCGUAGAGAUGCUAGAAUUCUGGAGAAAUUUAUCUUUUAAAAUCUUUAAAAUGUUGCAUGAUGAGUUCCUGUAUGAUGAGAGUGCUUGCUUGCUAGACUUUGAGUUCCUGUUGAAAUUCCUACCAUAGCCAUAUAUACAUGCUUGCUUGAGCCACACAUUUACUAUUUACUACUUAUGAGCAUUGAGUGUGGUCAAGCUGUGUAGACCCUUAGGAGCUUGUCAUGUGGUUAAAUCAAGAUUCACUUGCACGUUCACUCAUAUAUGCUACUUCUACUCCGGAAGUACCAUCCACAUAUAUCCACUCAUUCCAUCUCGAGAACCACCCAAAAAUAUUCUACUCCUAAUCCAGGAGAGAAUGACCAAAAAUAUUUCUAUUUUUCCCUUGUGAAAUAAAUGCUCCCGUUAUCUUGUUACUACCACUUGUUAUAUUAUCUCAAGAGAUGAGUGCUCUAAAAAAAGAAGAUGAAAAAAAGAUACGAGGAAAUAAAAAGGGGCAAGUGCCCGGAACCUCGAAAGAAAAGAAAAAGUGAGACGAGAGGUAAAAAUGGACAAGUGUGCGACAGUAGAAUUAGGGGUACAAGAUACCCACCUGAGAGAAAAGAAAAAUAUAGAGCAUCUCAUUCUCCUCAUAAGGUUUCAAAAAGCAAGGAAGGUAUGUAUCCUCUCAAAAGAGCAAAAGUAGAAUUAGACUUCCACUAUUGUUAUCACCAUCAUCACCAUACACCAUUCAUUCGCCACACAUGCACAUCUUGAUUUGACUUAUUGAUUUGUUUCUUUGGAUCCAUGGUUUGACUAUACAAUAAAUGUCUUGUAAGUAUGUAUACUUUAUCUCCCACCUAUGAGCUCCAGAUAUUAAAGCCUUAUUAGAGUGGGGUGAGAGAGAAGGCAAUGUCACUAUACCUUAUACCACAAAUACUACAUACUUUUUAAGAGAAGGCAUAUACCAUCACUGCCUUGGUAAGGAUCCAGAAAUACCACAAAAGAGAGAUAUAAGAGAGUCAUACAAGGAAUCUCUAAGUUUUAUUUGAAAAUUGUCGAGGGUAUCAGUAAGGGGUACCCUCAGCGAUGCGCAUUAUGAGAUUGCCCGUACGCAGGUCGAGACCCUCAAUUCGACGCUCUAAUCUUACGUAUGUGCCGCCAUCGACGGCCGCAGCCUCGAAGACGGAAAUAGCGUCGAGCGAAUCGAUCAGGCGUCGAGCGCCGGUUACCGUCGAAUACGGAACAGGCUCAUGCGAACCGGGGGGCGUCGAGCGCGAGGACGCCAUCCGCCGCCUGACGCGCGCACGCGGGCCGGAGCAUUAAAUGCGCCUGAUGCUUCCCCACCUAACGCACAGGUCACGGGAGGCGUGAUAGGGAACAGGCUUCCGUCCCAUCAAUCUUUUUGCAGCCUUCCCACCGAACGACCCAGGGCGUGUCAGGACGCAGGAAACAAGGAUGGAACGUCUAAUCGGGACCCCCUCGAGACACCUAAGGUCAGCGCUCCAGAUAUCAGCAUAUUACACGGCGUCCGACCCUCGACCGAACAGGGUCCCUUCCUAGGGACAAGUUGGGCGUCGACUGACCACACCACAGCUACCCCACCGGAUCCGCCGCCAUACCGUACAAGCAUGCGACCUCAGAACCAGCGCGAGGCGGUGGGCAGGGCAGAACGCAGGAGCACGCGUAAUCAUCACCGGGCUAUCAAGAUGGGACGGCUCGAGGCCAUGCCGUACGGAAGCCUCGAGUAGGUCGGCGCUCCAUGCGGCUAUCGACCCCUACUCUAACAUCUACGCAUGUACCCUGUGUCUCUCCUUGGAGCUAUAAAAGGAGAGACUCAGGAAUAGAAGGGGCAUGACCACGACACAAGACCACACUCAUACGUAGAAGAGCUCCACACUUCAUACCACGCUUGUAUUCGCCCCUGUACAAGCACUUAGGUGCAAGAUAAUACAAACUCUCUCCCCCCGCUGGACGUAGGGCCUUCUCUUGCCCGAACCAGGAUAAAUCUUUGUGUCUUCUUGCAUCACCAUCCGGGAAAGGGAGCACGCAUACAAAUUUACUCGUUGGUGUGACCCCCCGGGGGAAAAACACCGACAGUUGGCGCGCCAGGUAGGGGUCCUACGUGUUUUUCAUCGAUUUCCCACUACUUUCCGGAUGGCUACUCUUGCCUCGCCGUUUCCGCGCUCCACGGUGAUUUGGUUUGGGAGUCUCGAGUUCAUGUCUAUGGGCUCCGGCUAUGACAUGAUCUUGCUCUCAGUCAAAGGACCAGGAGGAGCCCACGUUACGCCAGCACGAUUGAAGGCCCCGAGACGCCCUCUCCACCACGCCUCCCCGCCUAAGAAGAGGCACGGACAGCACCACCGUGGCCCCUCUGCUUCAGCACGACCAACAACUCGUGCGAGGCAGGACGUGGGCCACAAGUCGGCAGCACCGUGUGAUGGAGCAACAAGCGCGACGACACAGCACCGCGCGACGACGGGAGGGGACGCGUCUCACGCGCUCUCCCCCACUGCAGCUAGGCUACUUCCACACGGGUUGUUCUCUCCCAGGGCGGCACUGCCGUUCGGGUUGGACAACGCCGCGGCGUCGCUCGCCAGGGCGAUAUGCCCAAACGCCCAGACAUACGUAGAAGGACCAAUGGUCCUCCCACGUAGCUCUGAAGCGCGGUGGCCGGCGUCCGAGCAGCCGGACCUUUCCCGAGUACGAGGCCUCCGUCGUCUAGGCCCCGGACGAUACUCGAUCAUCUCCCUCAGGCAACGAUUGCUAGAGGAAGGACGUGGGUGUUUCUACGCCGCCGAACCGGACUCUGACUCCGAGACAGAUAGCUAUGACCCUACGAGGGAAUGCUAUCACAUCGACGGGGCGGUAGAAACUACUGACGAGACACGGGAUGCUGCUGCGGGUGGUCGAGCCCCCGCGGCGCGAGAAGACCCCAGGACGCCUGGGAACGACGGACAAGUCGACACCCUCCCUCAGGAAGACAGAACCGCGCAGCUCGCGCAGCUGCGGGAGCUCAAAAUGAAGCUCGACGAGGACCGCGAGCGCCUCGUCCUGCUAGAGCAAAUCCUCGAGCAAGACCUGCCCUACCCGCCGGGCGGAAGUGUCCGCAGACGCGCUCGAGAGGUACAUCGACAGAUCGUCGGCGACGCAGAGCCAGAGCAACCCGUCAGCCGUUUCCCUCGAGCAGGCCAGAAUGUAGUGGCAGCGACGAUGUUGCUACGUAACAUGCCAGAGCCGUCGAAUUCCCAGGCCCGACGCAUUCGAGAUGAAGUACAGACAUUGCUCCAAGUGGCGGCGGUUCAACAAGCCGAAAGUUCGGCGUCUCGACGACGAGGAGCUGCCACAGAGAGGCGCGACGAACAGCCUCUAAACGAAGAGGUGUCAGUCCAUCAACAACCUCCCCCUCGAGGUAGAAAGACCGCUCUCAUCCUGCAUGUCGACAAUCAACGUCGACACGACGCGCGGCACGACAUCAAAGAAAAUCGACGCCGCCGACACGGAGACGCGGAAGAGCGUGGUUAUAGCGCGCAUCGCGGUGGGAGAUACGACAGCGACGAGGACCGGGUGGCCCCCGAGCCACCGGGCCCACGGGUGUUCAGCAGGGCGAUCCGCAGCACGCCCCUUCCCAAUCCAUUUCGACCCCCAACCAGCAUCGCGAAGUACAAUGGAGAGACCAAGCCAGAGUUGUGGCUGGCCGACUUCAGGCUGGCCUGUCAGCUAGGAGGCGCUCGAGGUGAUGAUCGAGCCAUCAUCAGACAGCUACCCCUUUUCCUCUCCGACACCGCCCGUCGAUGGCUCGAGGAACUCCCUGCCAAUCAGAUCCACAACUGGGUUGAUCUGGUCAGAGUCUUUGAGGGUAACUUCAAAGGGACCUACAUACGGCCAGGGAACUCGUGGGACCUCAGCAAGUGCAAGCAGAAGCCGGGAGAAACUCUUCGGGAGUAUGCUCGACGCUUCUCGAAGCAGCGCACUGAGCUGCCGCACAUCCCUGACCACGACGUCAUCUUGGCGUUUGUCUCAGGCACCACCAGUCGAGACUUGGUGCGGGAAUUAGGUCGCAAUCGACCUCAGACCGUCGACGAGCUGAUGGACGUAGUAGCCAACUACGCGGCAGGGGAGGAGGCAGUCGGCGCCUUCUUCAGCUCGGAAGGAAGAAAAGGCAAGCAGCCCGUCGACGAAGAUGGGACCCCCAGUCGAGGCCUCAAGAAAAAUAAAAAGAAGCAGAAAGUGCGGCAGUUCCACCAGGAAGAUUCCGAUGACAACCUUGUCGCCGCCAUGGAUCGAAAGAAGCCUCGAGGCCCUCCGGAUGGAGGCAUCUUCGACAAGAUGUUGGAGGAGCCGUUCCCUUACCAUAAGGGAGGCGCCAACCACAAGCUCAAGGACUGUCGUAUGCUGAAGAGGCAUUUCGACGGUCCAGGGUUCAAAAAAGAUACGCGUGAUGACUCCAAGAAAGAGAAGGCUGGCAGCAAGGAGGACAACAAAGAUGACGACGGCUUCCCCGCCGUCCACGACUGCUACAUGAUCUAUGGCGGGCCCUCCACUCAAUUAACCAUGAGGCAGCGCAAAAGGGAGCGUCGCGAAGUCUUUGCAGCAAGAAUGGCGGUGCCCCAGUACCUUAGCUGGUCAAGCACUCCUAUCACUUUCGACCGAGAGGACCACCCCGACAAGGUAGUCGCCCCAGGCGUCUACCCGCUCGUCGUCGACCCCAUCAUCGUCAACACCCGACUCUCGAAAGUGCUGAUGGAUGGUGGCAGCAGCCUCAACAUCAUCUACCUCGAGACCCUCGACCUCCUCGGCAUCGAUAGAGGACGCCUCCAGCCAAGCGCCGGCGGUUUCCAUGGCGUCGUGCCAGGGAAAAAGGCACUGCCAGUAGGUCGAAUUGACCUACCGGUCUGCUUCGGCACGGCGGCAAACUUCAGGAAGGAGACCCUCACCUUUGAGGUGGUUGGGUUCCGAGGCACGUACCACGCCAUCAUCGGGCGCCCGGGCUAUGCCAAGUUCAUGGCUAUACCCAACUACACCUACUUGAAGCUGAAGAUGCCCGGUCCCAAAGGCGUCAUCACUGUCAGUUCCUCCUUCGAGCAUGCGUACGAGUGCGACGUCGAGUGCGUCGAGUACGGGGAGGCGGUCGAGAACUCCACCGAGCUCGUUGCGAAGCUCGAGGCCCUGGCCGCUGAGGCUCCAGAGCCUAAGCGCCACGCUGGCAGCUUCGAGGCGGCGGAAGGAACCAAGAAGAUCCCGCUCGACCCCAACAACUCCGACGGCAAAAUGCUGACGAUCAGCACCGACCUCGACCCCAAAUAGGAAGCCGUGCUCGUCGACUUUCUCCGUGCAAAUGCUGAUAUGUUUGCAUGGAGUCCCUCAGACAUGCCAGGCAUACCGAGGGAAGUCGCCGAGCACUCCUUGGAGAUUCGAGCCGGUUCCAAGCCAAUGAAGCAUCGGUUGCGCCGAUUCGACGAAGAGAAGCGCAAGAUCAUUGGCGAGGAAGUCCACAAGCUUUUGACGGCCGGAUUCAUCAAGGAGGUUCAUCAUCCUGACUGGUUAGCGAACCCUGUAUUAGUUAAGAAAAAGAACGGGAAAAUGAGGAUGUGUGUCGAUUAUACUAGUCUGAAUAAAGCAUGUCCAAAAGUUCCCUUUCCAUUGCCACGCAUUGACCAGAUUGUCGAUUCUACCGCGGGAUGUGAAACCCUUUCUUUCCUUGAUGCAUAUUCUGGUUACCACCAAAUAAAAAUGAAGGAGUCCGACCAGCUCGCGACCUCUUUCAUCACGCCUUUUGGGAUGUAUUGCUACGUGACCAUGCCAUUUGGGCUUCGAAACGCCGGAGCCACGUAUCAACGUUGCAUGCUCCACGUAUUCGGCAAACAUAUAGGGUCAACGGUCGAGGCCUACGUCGACGACAUUGUCGUCAAGUCAAAGCGACGAGGAGACCUGAUCCAGGACCUCGAGAUUGCCUUUAGCUGCUUACGCACCAGCCGGAUCAAGCUCAAUCCCGAGAAGUGCGUUUUCGGUGUGCCUCGAGGCAUGCUCCUAGGAUACAUCGUUUCACAGCGCGGCAUCGAAGCCAACCCCGAAAAAGUCUCGGCCAUCACGAAAAUGGGGCCGAUCCGAGACAUCAAGGGUGUACAGAGAGUCACAGGGUGCCUGGCGGCUCUGAGCCGUUUCAUCUCGAGACUGGGAGAAAAAGCAUUACCAUUAUAUCGACUCCUAAAGAAGGUCGAGCGCUUCGCUUGGACCCCCGAGGCUGAGGAAGCACUCGAAAGACUGAAGAAGACGCUGACCUCGGCACCAGUCCUGGUCCCACCUCAACCUGCAGAGCCGCUGCUCCUCUACGUCGCGUCGACGACCCAGGUCGUCAGCGCGGCGGUUGUGGUCGAGAGGCAGGAGGAGGGACAUGCGCUACCGGUUUAGAGGCCAGUGUAUUUCGUCAGCGAAGUGCUUUCGGAGACCAAAGCACGUUACCCCCAGAUCCAGAAGAUGAUUUAUGCCGUAAUCCUUGCCCGUCGCAAGCUGCAGCAUUACUUCCUUGGCCACCCCAUCACGGUGGUCUCGUCUUUUCCUUUAGGUGAAAUAAUCCAGAGCAAAGAAGCCACGGGAAGAAUAGCAAAAUGGUCGGUUGAGCUCAUGAGUGAGACUCUCACUUAUGCCCUGGUAGACUUCAUCGCAGAAUGGACGGACACCCAGCUCCCCCCGUCCCAGGUCCAGGCGGAACUAUGGACGAUGUAUUUCGAUGGGUCGCUCAUGAAAACUGGAGCCGGAGCCGGCCUGCUGUUCAUCUCACCUUUGGGCGUCCAUAUGAGGUACAUAAUCAGGAUUCAUUUUGCCGCAUCUAACAAUGUCGCAGAAUAUGAGGCCCUCGUCAACGGUCUCAAGAUCGCUAUCGAGUUAGGAGUCCGACGCCUCGACGUCCGAGGUGACUCCCAACUCGUCAUCGACCAAGUAAUGAAAACCUCGAGCUGCCACGACCCAAAAAUGGAAGCGUACUGCAAGGAGGUCCGUCGACUCGAGGACAGGUUCCACGGUCUCGAGCUUGUCCAUGUCGCUCGACGCUACAACGAAGCAGCCGACGAACUCGCCAAGAUCGCAUCGACCAGAGGCACGGUGCCGCCUGAUGCAUUCUCAAAAGAUCUUCACGUGCCAUCCGUCGACCUAGGCACGGGGGCUGGCGUCGACGCCACCACCACCCAACCAGCCAAUGCUGUCGAUACGCUCUUGAUGGUGGAAGAGAUGAUGGAGAUAGAAUGACGGCCAGGCCGACCAUUCGAUUGGCGCACACCGUACCUCGACUGCCUUAUCCGCGGCGAGUUGCCAGAAGACAGGUCAGAAGCUCGUCGUAUCGCUCGAUGGGCCAAAUCAUAUGUGAUCUAUGGCGAAGACAACGAGCUAUAUCGAUGGAGCCCGACGGGGGUCUUACAACGUUGCAUCACCGUAGAAGAAGGCCGAAAACUCCUCGAUGACCUGCACUCGGGGGCUUGUGGCCACCGCGCCGCUCCACGGACCCUUGUAGGGAACGCUUUUCGGCAAGGCUUCUACUGGCCAACGGCCGUGGCGGAUGCCAUCGAGCUCGUACGCUCGUGUCAUGGGUGCCAGUUCUACGCCAAGCAGACGCAUCUACCCGCCCACGCUCUUCAGAUGAUCCCCAUCACCUGGCCGUUUGCGGUAUGGGGGCUCGAUUUAGUAGGACCUCUACAAAAGGCGAAAGGAGGAUACACCCAUUUGCUGGUGGCCAUUGACAAGUUCUCCAAAUGGAUCGAGGCUCGACCCAUCACCAACAUCCGCUCCGAGCAAGCCGUCCUCUUCUUCACCGACAUCAUCCAUCGGUUUGGGAUCCCCAAUGUCAUCAUCACCGACAACGGCACCCAGUUCACCGGCAGAAAGUUCUUGGAUUUCUGCGAUCAGCAUCAUAUCCGUGUGAACUGGUCUGCAGUAGCCCACCCUCGAACUAACGGCUAGGUCGAGCGUGCCAACGGAAUGAUUUUGCAGGGACUCAAGCCAAGGAUCUACAAUCGAUUGAAGAAAUUCGGCAAGAAAUGGGUCGAGGAGCUUUCCUCAGUCCUAUGGAGCCUUAGGACAACGCCAAGCAGGGCCACAAAAUACACCCCGUUCUUCAUGAUCUACGGCUCUGAGGCUAUCCUCCCCACAGACCUCGAGUAUGGGUCACCUCGACUCAAGGCUUACAACGAGCAAUCGAACAAAGAAACUCAAGAAAACGCGGUCGACCAACUCGAGGAGGCUCGAGACAUGGCCCUCCUCAACUCUGCCAGAUAUCAGCAGAGACUCCGACGCUACCACGACAAGCACGUGCGCAAGAGGGACCUCAACGUAGGCGACCUUGUCCUACGACGCCGGCAAAGCAACCAAGGACGCCACAAGCUGACUCCACCUUGGGAAGGUCCGUAUGUGGUGGCCGAGGUCCUUAAGCCAGGAACGUACAAAUUGGCGGAUGAAAAGGGGGCGAUCUUCACCAACGCAUGGAACAUCGAACAGCUACGUCGAUUCUACCCCUAGAAGUCCUAAACUUACGUUCCUACAUUUUGUACGAAGACUUUGUAAACGAACGCAUGAAUAAAUAAAGUCUUUCUCUCGAGCGACUUCUUUUUGUGCCAAAAAUAGUUACGAGUCAUAGUCUCGACGUUAAAAGGGGAUGCCGACCAUGACCCAUCAUAGUCAGCACCCCCUCGGGGGCUACCAGGGGGACGACCCCCCCCCAAGCGUCGAAAAAACCAAGAAGUUUUCUUUUCUUACUUAGUAAACCUUGCACGGUUCGAGUAGCUAAGGCACCUCGAGCCCCCCAAAGGCCGAGGGAUAACGAGCCGGAGAACUCCCACGCCCCCGGGCUACGGAAACUCUACUCACUUCCUUACCCUUGAGGUAAUCGAGGUUGUUUUUUGACCAAAGAUCGAGCAAGGGAUACAAACGUAGGAACAAAGAGAAACAAAAGAACCUCGAGCGGAAAGACAAAUAAGCAUUUAACAAUCACAAAAAGAUACUGUAUCGCCUAACAGCAGAAUUAAUAAAGUAUCAUACAAGGGGCCUCAGGCGCCCUGAGCAGGCUCGCAGGCCUCAGUCCGCGGCACGAUCCUCACCGCACUCGCCUCCGCCCGAGCUAGCCUCAGGAGGGAGCACCUCAGGCUCGAAGAGCUUGGCCAACCUUUCCCCAGGAGCCUCCGCGUCGUCGAUCAAGGCAUGAAGCCUCUCCUCGUUCUCCGCGUCGGUCUUGGAGAUGUCGGUGACGAAGCCAUGGGACACCACCUCCAUGUCGUAGGAGAAGCCCGAGCAGACAACCGCCAUCGCCCGCUUCAACCCGAGGUGGAGGGCGUCCCGCACUCGGUCUCACAGCGUCGUGCCUAUGUAGCACAACUGGUCGACCAGGGCGUCACCUCGAGCGUCCUCCCUUGACUCAUCCAUAGGCUCGACCUCCCAAGAGGUCGAGAGAUCGCUUAUCGCCGUCCGCACUCGACGGUUCAAAGCAACCUCAGCCUCGAGCUGAGCCUUGGCGUUGCGAGCCUCGGCUUGGGCGGCUAGGAGUUCGUCCUUGAGCCCUGCAAAAGCCAAUAUAAAGAAGCUUUAGGAAAAAUGCAAGCACACCUCGAAAAAGUAAUUCGACAAAAGAAACAUACCUUUGAUGCUCUCCUCUAUGGCCGUGUUCUCGCCGACCAAUCUGGUGUUGGCACGCUCGAUCUCUCUGUUGGAGCGCGCCAGCUCAGUAUUGGCGACGCGGAGAUCUUCGAUCACCCUGCCAGCCUGAGCAACGGCUCAACUCUUCUCCAGCAAUUCUCCCUUCAGACGCUCGACGUCGUCAGAGAGACUGCGGGAGCGAGCCCGCUCCGCCUCGAGGUCUUCGAGGGCCUUCUUCUUUACGUCCUCGGCGGCACCCCUUGCGACCUCACUGUCCACGUACGCCACUUUCAUCUUCUGGAAGGAAUCGCGGAGGGAGUCCAGGUCGGUCCUGAGAAGGCCCUUCUCCUUCUCCAGGUCCGCAACGAUGCUCUUGUAGGACAGGGCCUCCUCCCGGGCUCUGGACGCGGCCUCCUCGACCGUAAGAGCCCGCUCCCGUAGCUGCAUCGCCUCCUCCUCCACCUUCUUCAAGGCCUCUCGGGCCUCGGCCAAAGCAGCCUCCCUCACCUUCUUCUCCUCCUCGAGUGCUAUGAGAUCUUUGUAAGCUUUAAGGAGCUUUUCCUGCGACUCGAGGAGUUGAUCCUUGAGGAGGGGAAGCUGCUCCCAACCGCCCCUCGUGGCGUGUAUGAAGCUGGACUUGAUGCGAGAGGUCUCUUUCAUAUCCUGCGAAUCAAGGGUCGGAUGGAUUAGAAUACAGAAACCAGGAAGCACCAUGAAGAUUGGAGUUCGAGAAACACUUACAAAAUAAGCAGGCCCGAGCCCGUUGUUGAUGACGUCCGAUAGGAGCCCCACCACGUGCUUCAUCCAAAGGCGGAGCUCCUCGACAUGCUCCCACUUCUCGACCUCCUUCUUGUCGUCGAGGAAGAUAUUGGGCUCGGACGGGUCGGUGGAAGCUCGGAUACGAAUCCGAUCGGGACACCAGUUCUCCAUCUCCCGAUCAGCCCGCGCCUUGACGCCGCGGAUAAAGUUCUCGACGGUCUCGAGGGAACCCCCGUGGCGCAAGAACAGGUCGGCGAGGCAAGGGAACCGCCCGUCGUCAUCCACCGUCUUCCAGGUACCGUCCUUGCUCCCUGACGACCCAAUCUCAUCCUCCUCAGAGGGAAAGUGGUCCUCCCAUGCUCGACGCUCCCGGAGGAACCCUGGGGUGAUCCCGUCCAUGCCGUAGAUCGUCCUCUUGAUCUCGGACUCGGGGUCGGUGGGGGUGCGCAUCAUACAGGCGAGCGCCACCACUCCGUCCGCUCGCCCCGACUCUGCCCGGAUCGUGGCAGGCGCCCCCGGGAGGAGCCACGCUGGGGUGGGAGGGCCGUACACCGGCAAAUUUUCCUCCUGAUCGCCGGGCUCUUGCGGCGCCAGUGGCGCCGGUUCGGCCAAACCUUGAGGCUGGGGCUCGAGUGGCUCGUCCUCUUGGCCCCCCUGCUGCUGCUGCUGUUGCUGCCCCUGCUGCUGCUGCUCCUCCUGCUGAUGCUGCAGCUGCUCCUCCGGCUGGGGUUGCUGCUGCUGCUGCUGCUCCAGUGACUGCCGUGCCGCCUCGCGCUCCCGCUGUUCAUCCUCCUCCCUCUUCUUUUUCUGCUCCUCGAGGGUGCGGAGGCCGGCGGGCCAGGGAGUUGAUCCCUCGACAUGAGGGGUCGACGUUUCCUCCUCCAUGGGGCGGGCACCCCCAGACGCUCUGUCACCAUCAGACGUGUCGCUGAUGGUGAUGGGUUCCCCCUCGACCCCCAAUCUAGGGGGCUCGGGGGCUCCCUCUGACACUUUCGUCUGGGGCGCCUCACCACCAGUCGGCAGCGAUGGAGUAGGCGCUGGACGAGACGGAGCCCUCUCGACGCCGGCUGGAGGUUGGGAGCUGGAGGAGCCUACGAAACAAAGGGUAAGGGUCAGACGUUAUGAUAACCGACACAAGAACAUCGCAACGCCCAGAAAUAAAAUACGAACCUGUUUCCUUGGGGGCGGCACCCGUCUUGAGCCUCUUUGCCAUGGAUGGUUGGGCCUGCUCAAGGGUCCGCUUUAGCCUAAAAAAAAGGUAGGCAUAUGAGGAAAGGUGGAAGAAUGGGAAGACAAAAACCGCAACAUCAAAAAAGGCUUACCCCAUAGGGAGAACGGCUCCCCUCCCGCUACCCCGACCAAUGGGCCUCGAGCCACCCCGCGUUAGAGCUCCAGGCCCCUCGAGGGCAGGUACUGGCCUAGGCGCGUUGGUCCCCGCCUGGCGGGCGCCGGGACUGGCGCUCCUACGGCCGGCAUCUCCUUUCUCAGAGGCCGCGGCGCGGCCACGAGUUAGCGGCCCCGACGCCUGGGGCCUAGCCAGACCGCUCUCCCUGGGCACUGGGGGAGGGCGCGGUGCGUCUUGGCCCGCCUUGGGCGCGGGAGGGGUGUCAGCCCGAGGGCGACGGGAUCCGCUCGGACCCUCCUCUGGCGCCUCCGUCCGGGGGGCGUCGACGUCGCCUCGAGGAGGGCCCUCGAGAAUCCGAUCGAGGCGCGACGCCAUCCCGUCAGAGUCGUCGCUGUCCUCGUCGUCAUCGUCAUCAUCAUUGGGGGAUUCUUCCUCAGGCUCCCCCCUCUGCCUGGAUUUGGCUCGACGCGCCUCUAAUGCUUGGCGGUCGAGGUUCUUCUUCUUCUCCCCCUUUUUUGCAGAGUCCUUGGCAGACUUUAGCUUUUCGGCAGAUUGGCGCCGUUUGUCACGAUCGACCUCGUCCUCCUUUAUCGGAGGCCUCGAGGACCGGAGAUCAAUCCGACCCUGCCAAAACUAAGGUAGACUUAGAAAAAAGAGAGGGGAGAAAGGAAACCCAGAAUCGAGGCUGUGCGCAAGAAGAAAGCGUACCAGAUCGAUCGAGCCUGCGUCAGGUCUCAUGGGGAAGCCGUUAACAUGCUCCGGCUGAAAAUCACCGGCAAUUGCAGCCCUGACUCGGGCCGCGACUUCGUCGUCCGCCGGAGCCUCGUUGGACAUCCGACACGCCUCGAGGUCCCGAGAGGAGACGCCAGGGCCCAUCUCGUCCAUCCUCAACGGUCGUGACAUCAGAGGGAGAACUCUCCGGUGAUGGACGGCCGAGAGGACGAGAGCGGCGGUCAAACCCUCCUGGCGAAGCUUCUUCAGGGCGUCGAGGAGGGGGUCGAGCCCAGAUUGAUGAGCUUGGACGACGCCGUAUGUCCAGUCCGCUGGACGCUCCAAGAUUAGACGGCCCGAGUAGGAAGGCAGGAGGUUGUCGUCGUUCCGCAGGUAAAACCACUGGGAGUCCCAGCCGGCGUGGUUGGUCGACAACCCUACCGGGAUGUACUCCCGCGGCCUGUCCGUCUUCCCCGUCUUCUGCACCAGAUUGAGGCAUCCCGCCCGCACGGGCUUCCUUACGCCCGUGGUUCCGGUGGGGGCGUGGAAAAGCUCGCCCCUGUAGAGGUGGAGCCACAGCUCCCAGUGCGGCAUCAUCCCCAGGUAGCCCUCACACACGGCGGCGAAAACCGCCGCUACGGUGAUGGCGUUCGGAGAGAAGUGCUGGAGCUCGACCCCGUAAUGGAAGCAGAGGGCUCGCAUGAAGCGGCUCGGGGGCGCGCCCAGACCGUGGCGGUGGAACUUGGCGAACGACACCACGUAGCCCUCAAGCGGCUGAGGCCCCCUGUGACUCGCCGGCGGCGCGAUCCACUCCGGCGACGAUAGCGAGGUGCGGCGGCGCAGCAGUCCCUCUUUCUCAAGCUCUAACAGCCGGCGCUCCGUCAUCGACGACGGGCGCCAGUCGUCGGCGGCGACGAGUCUUACAGGCAUCUCGGCUGGAGGGACGGUGGAUUCACUACAGCUCGAGGAGGCGUGUGCGCGUGAGACGGCGAGAAAGCAAAGGCAUCAAGGGAAUAAGAGCGAGAAGGCGGAAGGGAGAGGAACGGCGGCGACGCGAUGACGUAUUUAUAGGCAGCAGUCCGCCAACGGACAGAUCCGAGAAAUAAGGUAACUCCCCCCGUAAAUGCGCCGUCUGACAGUCCUUUCUCUCCUCACAGGCCGGACUCUCCGAAUUCCCCGCCGAUACAGUGUCGCAACGUCACCCGCCUAAAAAGGCGCGCCCAACGGGCAGAAAGGCGAACCGCCACGGCCACUUCCUUACUUCGUAAGCCAAGGUAUGCGCCCACAAUAGUCUCGAGAGGUCGAUGGCUGGCCCGUCGAAAGGGUUCGACAGCCGAUCUCGAGCACCAAGAGUCAGGGAUCCCCAGCGAGUGGUCGAAAAUCGAGGCCCGCCUCGAGGGCUCGCUGGUGAUGUCUAAGGUAGGGUCGAGACAGUCGAGAGGAAUCCCCCCGAAGGGAGGCAUCGAGCCGCUGGACUCUAUCGAAUGAGACUGGUAUCCCCGACCACGUCGAUCCUGCUUUAUGAGGACGCCUCCGGGCUACAGCUGACCCCCUCGAAAGGGGCACAGGUUCUCACUUAGACUACCCGCUAGGAACUCAAUCCGGGGUGGAAGACGCUCGCUCUAUCGAGAGUACGUCGAAACCUCCACGCAAGGCAAAGCCGAACAGAACCUUCCACCACUGGUGUCGAAAGCGUUUCUGCGAAUUAGACAACAUAACCCUCGAAGGAGUCAAAAACUCCUCCGAGGGCUCGGGGGCUACCCCCGCGGGGUCGCUCGCGCGCCCCCACGGAAAUUCGACCGCAAAACAAAGCCUCCACUCGAGCGCUAGCGCUCAAAUGGAGGCUCGGGGGCUACUGUCAAGGGUAUCAGUAAGGGGUACCCUCAGCGAUGCGCAUUAUGAGAUUGUCCGUACGCAGGUCGAGACCCUCAAUUCGACGCUCUAAUCUUACGUAUGUGCCGCCAUCGACGGCCGCAACCUCGAAGACGGAAAUAGCGUCGAGCGAAUCGAUCAGGCGUCGAGCGCCGGUUACCGUCGAAUACGGAACAGGCUCAUGCGAACCGGGGGGCGUCGAGCGCGAGGACGCCAUCCGCCGCCUGACGCGCGCACGCGGGCCGGAGCAUUAAAUGCGCCUGAUGCUUCCCCACCUAACGCACAGGUCACGGGAGGCGUGAUAGGGAACAGGCUUCCGUCCCAUCAAUCUUUUUGCAGCCUUCCCACCGAACGACCCAGGGCGUGUCAGGACGCAGGAAACAAGGAUGGAACGUCUAAUCGGGACCUCCUCGAGACACCUAAGGUCAGCGCUCCAGAUAUCAGCAUAUUACACGGCGUCCGACCCUCGACCGAACAGGGUCCCUUCCUAGGGACAAGUUGGGCGUCGACUGACCACACCACAGCUACCCCGCCGGAUCCGCCGCCAUACCGUACAAGCAUGCGACCUCAGAACCAGCGCGAGGCGGCGGGCAGGGCAGAACGCAGGAGCACGCGUAAUCAUCACCGGGCUAUCAAGAUGGGACGGCUCGAGGCCAUGCCGUACGGAAGCCUCGAGUAGGUCGGCGCUCCAUGCGGCUAUCGACCCCUACUCUAACAUCUACGCAUGUACCCUGUGUCUCUCCUUGGAGCUAUAAAAGGAGAGACUCAGGAAUAGAAGGGGCAUGACCACGACACAAGACCACACUCAUACGUAGAAGAGCUCCACACUUCAUACCACGCUUGUAUUCGCCCCUAUACAAGCACUUAGGUGCAAGAUAAUACAAACUCUCUCCCCCCGCUGGACGUAGGGCCUUCUCUUGCCCGAACCAGGAUAAAUCUUUGUGUCUUCUUGCAUCACCAUCCGGGAAAGGGAGCACGCAUACAAAUUUACUCGUUGGUGUGACCCCCCGGGGGAAAAACACCGACAAAAAUCUACAAAAACUCCAAAGCUAUAGCUGAUCAAGAAUAAGAAACAUGGCACUUGACUAGACUGUUCUAUCUUUUAACUACUCAAGACAGAAGUGGCGGCUACAAGUCCCAUGGUGAAAGGUAAAGUAAGUAAGUUUUAAGUCUUGACAGUUUACUCUAACUCAGAGAUGAGAUCUUAUUUAAAAGCAUGUGUACCGUCAAUUUUUUAAUGUAUUGCAGCAACUUCUAAUCUAUCCUUGCUCAGGGACGAGCAAGAGGUAAGCUUGGGGGAGUUUGUUGACGGUCCUUAAGCAUCAAAUUUAAUUAUCAAAUAAACAAAGAAAAGGAUCCAAAUGAAAUCAACAUCUAGACUUAGGGUUUUAUCUGACAGAAUUCCAUCUGUUUUGGUGUUUAUCUAUUUCUGCAGGGGGUUAUCAGGAAAUACGGAAGAAAGGCCCACACGUCGGGAUUACAUAGAGAUAUUAACGUGCCGCGCAAUUAUCUUACAUCUAGAAGACUCCAGAAGCCACGGGAAGGAAGCGGAGGCCGAACGGGGCCAGGGACUGGGCGCCCGCCCAGUUGCCCUGGGCGCCCGCCCUCUUGCCGAGCCCAAUUAGGACUUUGUUUCAGGGAAGAUCUCCACCGACCUAAAGGAUCAAGGAUAACCAUUCAAUCUAUGUUGGUUUGAUCCAACGGCCCAUAUUCACUUGAAUGGACUAUAAAACCAGACCCCCUAGCCCCUGGAGGAGAGAGCCUCUCAACCCUAAUUCAUUAAUCUCAAGGGAGAAGAAGCCUCUGAUCAAGAUUAGAGCCACCACAUCAAUUAGACAUCUAGAUUAGCAUAGCUACAUAGGAUUAGAAUUAGAAGGAGUCAAUCUUCGAUUUGUUUCCAGAUCUGUCAAGAGGAUUCUUGGUAAUUCUCUAAUUGUGCUUCUAAUUGUUCUUCUAAUUAUCUUUGUUCUUCAAUAUUAUGAAUAUGACUUUGUUCUACUUCAAUAUAUCGCUUAUGACUUUGCUCUACUUGCUUAUAUUCAAGAUUAUAUUGUUCUUAGUUAUCAUAGUUACGUACUUGGCUUAGUUAGAUUGGAUCUAUAUACAUGCUUAGGAUUGUAUAGCGUUUAUCCAUCGGAUCCAUGGGUAAAUGAUAGAUAUUGUGUAGGCGUGGUGCUUAUACCGUAUUUAUCUGCGAUUGUACCCAAUAAGCCAGAUCGUGGGGUAGUUCGUGAUAGUGACAGCUACAUUGAUUCUUAUAUAGUCCCCCUCUCGUGUAUUGGGCUGGCAGAGCAAUAUUAUUACAGGGGAGUGAUUGCUAUGUUUCUCAUUUACCUUGCUAAUAUCACUAUGCAUGGGCGUAGUCUUGUCUCGCAAUGAUUGCUAAGUAUGCUUGCACUAACUAUGAUAAUGCUAGACUAUAUAGUUGAGAAUAACUUAGGAAAUAUUCUUGUAGUUCGUUCUAUUUCCAUGCUAAUGACUUUCUAGAGUAUCUAAUUGAGGUGCUUAUCAUAUUUAUAUGUGGCUAAGUUAUGAUCAGAUUAAUUAUCUUUGUCACUAUUCAUUAUUUCAUAUAUCCUUUAUGUGACACUUACCCCUGUAUGAAAGAGUUAGAUACAAUGUUCUCAAUUAUACAUGCAAUUAUAGAUACUCAAUCUCAUAUUCUAUUCUGUAAUCAAUAUUGAUGAUUGUUAAUCCCUUCCCAGUGGUAAAAAUAUAAAUAACGAUAUCUGGAAUACUUCCCGGUUAAAAUGCUACAUCGGUAUUAAUCUGUGCGCUUGCAGAUCCCAUUCAUUAUUUAUUUAGAAGAGCAAUUGCAUAUUUCAAUACCGCGUCUCUCAUGUAAUGCUGGAGAUGACAACUUGGCUUAAGUGGUAUGAGGGACAGGUUUGGCAUUUUUGGCACCGUUACUAGAAUUAGAAAACUAAGUCUACUUCUGGUAAUGAUGUUAAGAAUACCCAACAGUGAGCGCAAACUAGACCAGUGCAUUAGGCUAUCUAUUGCCGACAUGGAGAGAAACGAAUCACUAUUGAUAGCAGCUUCAUAUUUCUAGUCAGACACCCUCAAUGCUUUUGUGUUCGGCCAUGGCCCUGCCUCUCCUACUCUUGCCGAUGUACUUAUGCUCACUGGUCUAGAAAUAGCAACUGCCGAUGAUAGCCACCUGUUCGACAGUAAGCCUGAACGUAAAGUGAAAACUCCCAACAUCGGCGGCUGGUUAAGGUACAUUCAGAAGUACUAGAAAAUAGGACCAGCUGGGCAAAGGGAACAUGCCAUCUUUCUGAACAUGUGGCUAGAUAAAUUUGUGUUUUGCGGCCGAUCGGUAGGACCAACUUAUGUGUACCUAUCAGCAGAAGAGAAACUAGCCGGCGGUGGUCGCUUCCCCCUUGGUCGAUACUUGUUAGGCUCUGUUUAUCAUCUCCUUCAUCAAGUAGCCGAGAAGUUUGGUGCAUAUUGAUCCUUUUCCAUGUUUAUUUGAUGGUUAAUUUUAGUACUUAAGGACCAUCAACAAACUCCCCCAAGCUUACCCUUUGCUCGUCCCUGAGCAAACAGCUAAACUCAGACGGAUUAGGAGUUGCUUUGAUGUUUUCUUUCCUGACAGACACACAUCCUUUUAUAUAAAAAUUCUUCCAGAUUAGAGUGAAGUGUCAUGGAGCUUAGUACCUGCACUUAAGUCCUAAGUAAUUGAAAGACAAAAUAAUUAAGUCAGGCACUAUUCCUCCUGUCUAUACUUCACCUUUGUUCUGGAGUUUUGUAUAAGUUUUCAAAAAUAAAACUCAGAGUUCCCAGCAAUGAUUCUCUCAAGUCUCUCUAUAUGUGGUAUUUGUGGAUCUUUACCAAAAUGUCACUUACCUAUAGCUAAUGGAAUAUUUAAGUGGAGCUCAUAGGUGUGAAAAACAGCUCAUACAUAUGUUGUCUAAUCGAGCCAUGGAUCCAAAGGAACUCAGCAUAUAAUUAAAUCAAGAUGUGCAUGUGUGGUGGAGUAAAUGAUAGUGACGGUAAAAAAAUGUAUAAGUGAUAAUAAAACUUACUUCUCAUUGCUCCUCAUAUUGCUACCUCUCCUCUUCUUUGAUCUUUUCUUUGGGAGAACAUGGGCUAUCUCUCCUUUUUUUUCAGGUGGGUAGUAGAUACCCCUAAUUCUACUAUCGGACACUUGUCCAUUUUUUCCGCUCAAGUGGGCAUCUUUGUACCCCUAAUUCUACUACGGACACUUGUCCAUUUUUAUCUCUCAUCUCACUCUUUUUCUUUCUUUUUCGAGGUUCCGGGCACUUGCCCCUUUUUAUUUACUCACAUAUUUUUGCAUAACCCAUGCCUCUUCUGCAUUGAAUCUUUUUAGAGAGAGAGAAUAACAAUACUUGGGACAGUGAGUGAUAAUAUUAUUUUUAGCAAUUUUUAAUAAGUGGUUGUGGAUGGUGUAGUAGAUGUGUGCAAGUGAAUAUCUUAAUUUAACCACAUGAAAAGCUCCUAAGGGUCUACACAGCUCGAUCAAACUCAAUGUAAAUAUAAGUAAAAGAUGUUAUAGCAAGUAUGGCUGUGGUAAGAAUUUUGUCAUACUAGGAACUCAUCAUGUGAUUUGCAAGUUUUCAAAAUAAACCUCCAGAACUUGGUGUAGUAGUAACAAGAUAAACAGUAGCUCAAACUUUAUAUCAUGCCUUUCUCUUACCUAGACUUUAGUUUUAUGCUUCCUAUAUAUAGUAAUUUCAGUUUUAGUAAUUCCUAGAAGAACUCUAAUAUAAAAGCUAGGUACAUGAAAGUAAGCAAACAGAGCAACUGUUCAUCAUUUCCAUCAAGCAUCUUUUUGGUCUUUUUAUUUUUCUAGAGACUAAAACUUGGCAGAUAAAUAAAGCACACUUAUCUACACAAUCUUUUCAUUUUGUUUUUAUGUUUAUAAAAUGCAGUAAAUUAAAGCAAGAUAAUAUUUAUUGGGUUUUCUAAGUUUUUCUUUUAAGAUAAAUAAAACACUAAAAUAGAAAAGAAUAAAUAAGAAAAGCAAAUAAAGACUUACUUGAUAAAACGGGGAGGAACUCCCCCAAGCUGGAUGUUGCUGUCGGUCUUACUCAAUAUUCCAAAAUCGCAUCAUGGUGGUGAUGUUGUCGUUCAUUGUCGUGGUGUCUUGUCUUAGUUCUUGUAUUGCAGUGGCGUGGUCCUAAUUCCAUUUUUGUUGCUGUUCAAGGAGUCGUCCUUGUUCUGCUUGCGUAUUCUAGAUGCCGAGGAGAAUGUUGUCGGUAAGGGUGAAGAAAGCACCGGCCUCUUGGUAGUAGUCGUUCAUGAAAGCGCAGGAGGCGUCGGAGUAUCGUCCUGCAUCGAAUUGGGGUGGAGGUCUGGAUCCUGAAGCUCCAUAAGGAUCAGUGGAGUACCUGCCCGUUUGGAAAGGCGGGUUUGUCCACUAGUGAUCUUGGCUCUCCGGCCAUGUCUCCUGUGCUGGCUCUUGUGGUUGCGCAUGUCGAACCCAUGGGUCUCGAAGGACUCGGGGGUUGUAGUCACGAUAAUGCAGGUGCGCUGCUUCUUCCGGCCCGGGAUCAGCUCCAUACCAGGUGCAUUCUUGAUGGGUGGUCAUCCUUUCAGAUGCCACUCGUUGUGGAGCUCUUUGGUUUACCGGUGUUACUGCAAUCUCAAUCAAAAAAUUUUGAACAACGUAGAGGCCAAGGUUCGGGUUAGGUAACCGAAUCUUGCCUUUAUUAUCAUAUAGCAUAUACAUUAUGUUCCCCUCUUUCUUUAACAUCCGAGCUUGUCUAAAUGUGUCAUAGCCAUGAUAAAUUCUUAACUCAUCUAUGAAUUCCAAUGACGAGUUUUCUAGUAAAUGAAGAUUAGAGGCUAGACGAGUGAUAAGUGAAGUACAUCCUACUGGUCCCUGAAGACUAGGUAUACUAAGCCAAUGAGAAACCAAAAGUGUAACAGGUGAAGUGGGUACUUUAUUAAUAGCAGCAUAUAGAAGUUGUAAAUCUCCUACUCUUACUUUCCUAAUAUCAUCACGAUAGAAAAGAUUGUACCCAAGCCAUUUGUGGAACAUCCUAAGAGUAGGGUGUUCCAUGUCACUGGUUCGGGCUUGAUUAUAAAAAUUAUCUCUAGAUAUCUCUCUCCAGAACUGGUGUCUCUCAAAAUUGGGUAGGUUGGAGUCAAUGUUUAUGAUGAAUCUUGAAGAGAAACCAAGAUGGUCGCUCAGUUCUCUCCAAGACAACAUAAUCUCCUGUUUGAACAUCCAAAAACAAUUCCCCCCUCAUAAUAUUGUAAAGUGCAAAGAAAUUCAAGGGUGAGAAGACGAGAACCCAGCUCAGUUAUGUUCCAAAAAUUUGUCCAACCUAACAUCUGGAAAAUUAAGUCGAAUUCAGUAUCCAUACCUGUUUCUUGUAGCAAGAUUGGAUCAAGAGUAGGGGUGUGAAUGAAAUCUUUGUUGUUUAGUUGCUGGUAGACUUCCUUUUCCCUUCGAGUCUUCAGUCCAAGGUCUCCUAUCUUGAGGAGGACCUUAACUUGCUGAUCAGAUGAAGAUGAUGGAGCUUGUGUUGGCGUCGGGUCGACGCUCAUCUCUGAUGGGUGCGAGGAGUGUCGGGAUGAACUCCUUGUACCUAUGUUCUUGAGAGCCUUCCCUGCGUUCUUCACCUUCUUGAAGAUUCUGUAAACAAAAGUUGGCAAAAACACAACUAGUGGAAAAUGUGAGAGAAAAUGUUAGUGGUUAGCUGUCCGGAAUGUCAGUAGUCCAGGGGUUAGUCGUUCAAGACAAGUUUUUAUUUUGGCAGAACCUCCCCCUAAACAACUUUUACUUCCGCUUUGGACAGCGGGAUCACUACUUACUAGGUGAAACUCACUCUCUCACUCAAAAACUACCAACUUCUUUCCCACUCUUCUCUUCCUGUCUACUCUAUUCUCACUUCACUACAAGAGCUCCUUCUCUAGAAACUGAAACUUGCGUGGUUUUCUAGAAUGCUUGUGUGAAGAAGAUGGAGGCAGGAGGUGGCAAUUUAUAGGAAGAAGGAAGGGCAGGGCGGGCGCCCUCUAUAGGUGGGCGGGCGCCCACUUGUGGUGCCCAUCCUGGCUGCCCUUUCUCCACUCUCUCCUUUGCUUAAUCUUUAAGCCAAAAAAUAAUUCAAUGGUGGUGGUUGGUCGGUGGAAAAGUGCUGGUGAGUGGAGAUAUGUUGGUGGAUCAAAUAAUGUGAUGGGAUGUGUGUGAGGUGUGGUGUAUGACAUGUGGGACCCAAAGGAGUGUGGGUCAUGCUUCUAGAAGGUUGCUAUAAUUAAAUAUAAUGCAGAAAAAUCUAUGAGAAUUUAAAACUUAUUGAAAUGAUAAUGAAAAAUAUUUUUGUGCCUCCACAAUAAUUAAUAAAUUAUGGGUUGUUACACACCAUAAAUAUUAUUUAUAUGGGGCUUUUUAUUAUUAUAAUAAUGCUAUGAAUAAAUAUGACUAAUGCAAGAAUUAAUUAUGCAAGAAUUAAUGAUGCGGAUAAGUACCGAUUUACCUCCCGGUGAGGGUUUGGGAUUUUUAGGUCCCCCAAGCUGGACCUCCAAAUCUUUUAAUCUUCUGAAUUACCUUCCUCCAGAGAUGGUGUCUCCAGUGGUUCUUCAUGAACUUCCUUCACUGUAGGGUCUCUCUCUGGUCUGGGUUUGAAUGUGAAGUGUUCUUCUUUUCCGUUGAUGUUGAACUUGAUUUCUCCUUUCCCGACAUCAAUGUGGGCAUUGGCGGUGCUCAGAAAUGGCCUUCCAAGGAUAAUGGACACUUUUGAGUCAGGACUCAUGUCCAGUACCACGAAGUCUACUGGCACAAGGAAAUCUCUGAUCUUGACUGAAUGUUUUCGGCGAUGCCCAACGGGUGUCGAACUGAUUGAUCUGCUAGUUGCAGGCACAUUGAUGUUGGUUCUAGAGUCGUAUGCUCAAGCUUAUUGUAGACUGAUGCUGGCAUCACACUGACACUUGCUCCGAGAUCACAAAGUGCAUUGUUGAAGUGUUGGUUUCCGAUCGAGCAAUCAAUAGUGGGACAUCCGGGAUCCUUCUUCUUCCUUGGUGGUAUAUUGAGGAUGGCCGCACUACAUUCUUCUGUCAGCUUGAUAACCUCAGUGGUGGGCAGUGGUCUCUUCUUGUAAAACUUUGAAAGAAAGGCAUCUGACAAGUUGAGGAUGGCCGCACUACAUUCUUCUGUCCAGUUGUUGAUGUUAUCUUGAUGAGUGUGGAACCACUUCCUCACUUUCCGUUCUAGUGAGAAUGGGAAAAGGCGAAGCAGUAUGACGUCUUUGUCAACUCCGUUGAUGUGGAUUGUGCUUCCAAUUUCUAAGAAAUUCUGCAAGAGUGCACUAGCAUCUUCAUGUGCCUUUCCACUGAAUUGUGUAGCUUGCACCAAAUUGAUGAGGCUUGACUUGAGCUCAAACUUAGGUACUCCUACUGCAAAUCUUGGACCAGUUGGAAUGUUCUCAAGACUUGGAGCAGAGAAUUCUUGUAGGGUCUUCUGUGCCAUAGCUUCAGCAAUUGGUAGCUAUCUUCUUAUUUCUCUCUUGAUUGCUUUGGUUCUGAUGAUGAAGAGUUGAAUGUACCCAAAGUCAAUCCUGAUAUACCGUGUAUAAAAAUAUAAACAUAGAAAAACAAUAGGGUGAACCUGCCAAAGCAGAGGUCCCUUGUUAUGAUUUCUCACUUAGUAGCUAGUUUAUGCAAUUGUUUCUCUAUAGUCUAGUCUAAUAUUUUAUGUGAAUAACCUUGACUGAUUUCCUGACUUUCCUUACCGUUCCUAUGUAUUACCCUUUUGUUCCCCGGCAAUGGCGCCAGAAAUGCUUGUUGACACUAGCUAACACCACUUAGAUACAAGGUUGUCAUCCCCAGCAUGGUGCUAGAGUGUACAAAGGUAUUUAUAAAUAUGGAGGCUCUCUAGAAAAUAAUCUAUUCUAUCCGCAAGCGCACAGAUAAAAUACCUCAUUGUAGCAUUUCACCAGGAUAAGUAUUCCAGGUAUCGUUAUUUAUAAUUUUGCUUAAGAGAACAAAAGGGAUGAAAUUAAAAUAAGGACAAAAUCUAUCAAUGCAUAGAUUAGAGUUAAACUUGCAAGAACAUGAUUACUAAUGAGAAACUCGUCACACAGUCACUUUGGUAGGGGGUAAACCAUAAAGAUAAUGAUAAUGAAUUAUAAGUUCAUGGGUAAAUAACACAACGAUUAGAAAAUAGACUACUCCUCAUAUAUGUAGGUGACGUCGGAUUAGCUAGAGAAUGGAUUCUAAGUUAUCUACUAUCUACUAAGUCAAAAUCUACUCUAUUUAUCUACAAGAUCAUGUAUAGCAUAAAAAACUCUUCAUUCAUGUAUAAGGAACAUUGCUAAAGUAAAUCAGAACAUCGUAAGACUUACUCCGCAAUACAAAUUCUGCCUGUCCUAUCGACGGAGGGUGGACUAUAUAAGAAUCAACGAAGCUGUCACUAUCACGAACUACCACACAACCCGGCCAAUAGGAUACAUUUGCAGGUAAAUAACAUCUAAGCACCACUCCCACAUGUGAUCUACCACUUAACUCCCUCGAGUCAAGAGCUAAGCGCUCUGCAAACUUAUACAUAAACUCAUUAUCAAUCAUAACUAUAUCAAAUAUAGAACAAGAGCAAACUAAGAGCAUAAUAAAUAGAGACAUAAUGUAAUUAGAACAAAGUAUUAGAGAAAGAUAUGAAUAAUACCAAUCUUUAUUACCGAAGAUCUGAAUCCAGAGCGUAGUGCUCUACUUCUCUAAUUGCUAUCUAAUCAAACUUCUAAACUUGAAGGAUUAGGGAGUAGCUAAUUCUAAUUCUCUAUGGGAGAGAAGCUCUAAACCCUAACUUUGAUGGCUACCUGUGAUAAUGAUUUCUCCUCUUCUCUUCUCUCCCCCAGGGGUGGAGAGGCCUCGGUUAUAUAGUCCUUUCAAGUGAAUUUGGGCCGUCGGAUCAAACCGACAUUGAUCGCACGGUUUUCCUUGAUCCUUUAGGUCGGUGGAGCACGAUCCAAGAGUUUGGUUCGAAUUGGCCCCGAGACCUGGGCGGGCGCCCUGCCCCCGAGCCCGUCCGGUCUCCAAUUCGUUCCCAUGGCUUCUGGACUCUUCUAGAUUGGGGAAAAUUACGUGGCACGUAAUUAUCUCGUUGUAAACAUGAUAUGUGGGCCUUCUCACCAUAUUUUCUGAUAUCCCCCUAUAGAAAUAGAUAAACACCAAAGCUUGUGGAAUUCUAUCAGAUAAAACCUUAAUUCUAGAUGUUUGGUGCAUAUUGAUCCUUUUCCAUGUUUAUUUGAUGGUUAAUUUUAGUACUUAAGGACCGUCAACACUUGUCAUUCUACAUCCUCAAACUCACCUUCCUAGCGGUUGCACUGUUCGAGAAACUCAAGGACUCCGGCAAGGAUCUCCUCCAACAAUCUUCCGAGUCUUCGAUCCCUUCCUCCUCGUAGGAAGAAAUGGCCAUCAACUUCGUCGUCCCUGAGGUCAACUCAGCAUCCCCUUUCUUAUUUUCACCAUAUUUUUGAUCUUUCACACAGUUAUUUAUUUGGUAUUUUCUUUCUUUCUCUUCCCUAUCUUUUCAACCUUCAAACCUUUAGGAAUUGGCCGAGAAAAUUGUUAUUCCCACCGAUCAACCCCACUUUCAAUGCCAUGGUCCAUUGGGAAACCCAGAUCCUACCGAUUUGAUAAAUGUAGAAUCAAAUAUUAUCCCCUUUAGAGCUGAGAACUUCUCAUUAGAUCUGUGGAAAGACACCUUUCGAUCCUGGCCUAGUUCUACCAAGGGGUGGAAAGACUGGUUCCCGAGAAUCGGCAACUCAAAUGAAGUCCAAUGGGGUGAGUGCAAACUAGACAGUGCAUUAGGCUAUCUAUUGCCGAUAUGGAGAGAAACGAAUCACUAUUGAUAGCAGCUUCGUAUUUCUGGUCAGACACCCUCAAUGCUUUUGUGUUUGGCUAUGGCCCUGCCUCUCCUACUCUUGCCGAUGUACUUAUGCUCACUGGUAUAGAAAUAGCAACUGCGAUGAUAGCCACCUGUCCGACAGUAAGCCUGAACGUAAAGUGAAAACUCCCAACAUCGGCGGCUAGUCAGGGUACAUUCAAAAGUACUAGAAAAUAGGACCAGUAGGGCAAAGGGAACAUGUCAUCUUUCUGAACAUGUGGCUAGAUAAAUUUGUGUUUUGCGGCCGAUCGGUAGGACCAACUUAUGUGUUCCUAUCAGUAGCAGAGAAACUAGCCGGCGGUGGUCGCUUCCCCCUUGGCCGAUACUUAUUAGGCUCUGUUUGUCAUCUCCUUCAUCAAGUAGCCGAGAAGCUUUUGUUAGGUCAACCAAUCGGCAACUUAGGAGGCCCUUGGUAGUUCAUCAAUAUGUGGCUCAGUGUUCACAUGCACAAAUGCCUUGGAUUCGACCUCUUUGCACAACGCUUUCCCAGAGAUAUCACUUAAGAUCAUGAACUGGUUGAUGAAGAAUCGGCAACUCGCACACCCCUGAACUAUGGUGAGCCUGCUAUAGUCCUACCUGGUACUGGUGGUAAUGAAGACCAGGUCAGCCAAUUCUUCCAAACUCUUUAUGAGGGUCUUGCCAAAGAUCAGCGGGCAUUGAUGCCUGAUGAAGAUCCAGAAACUAGAUUCCUGCUCACUUUCCUUCCUUUUGAUGACGCUCUCAACAAGGACCAUGAACUGAUGAUGGCAAUCAUCACUCCAAGAGCCAUACCAGUGAAUAUCUUUAGCAGUGGGAAGAAUUCCAACCCCACCUAUGAAUUCUAUAACCCAUCGGCACUGGCUCGUCACCUGGCUUUUGGGCAGCUGUCGAUUGGACUCUGCUAUGCCAAUGUGGUGAAGCCAAGGGAGACUAUAACCAGCGGACUUGAGUGGAUAAGAAUAGCUCAGCUUCAGCCAAAUGCCGAUACGUUAGACAUUGAUUUAUCGGCAUAGAUCCUAGCCCUUUUCAUCACUCAGAUGUACAAGUAGUGGUGGGAAGAAUGGAAGGAACACCAGUUCUGCACAUCGGCUCUGACAUACCACGGCAUGAUCGACCGCAACUAUAAGAUCUCCGAUAACAUUGUCAGUCUUCAACCGAUACCUCAGUUCUUUUGUUACUUUUAUUCUCAUCGGUAACUCGCCCCCUCCUUUUUAAACAGGUCGACAACCCGCCACCGACAGUCAGCAGAAGUGGAAGGCCGAUUGAACUCCUCCCGUCAGGCCCAAUUUCUCUAAUCGGCAACAACGCACCAAGUUUGGCAGCUCUAAUGCAUCGGAAUGUGCGUUUUAAGAAUAUAACCACCAAGCGGUCCAAGACGUCCCCAACGGUUGCCGCUGCUACCUUGGCAUAGGCUUUCAAGGUAGACUUUUGAUUUCAUUUGCUUAUACUGAUUCUGUUCCAUACUCAUAUAAUCUUUUCAGGACACAUCGGCCGCUACGGGAACUUCAUCGGUAACUUUAUUUUUUUUAACAAAAUUUCAUUAACAUUCUUUCAUAUCCCUUGUAAUGACAUCUUAGUUGUUAUAACAGCAAACUAGCAAAUUGGCAAAGACUAGAAGCGCCCAAACAAGUGCUGAUGCCCCCCAACCCGGCCGGGUCAAGAGAAAAGAACCUAAGAGCACCAAUUCACAACCAAAGCGUCAAAGGAUGGCACCAUCUUCUCAUCCUCGUCAAGUAUCACCGAUUCAUGUGGAAUCAUCCCCCUCUUCACUAGAAAUCCAGACACAGCAAGUACCGUCCGUUCCUCAACCAGCACCUCAGCCACAAGAAGCACGAGCCGUUGUGCUUGAGCAGACUGGCGAUCCAGCGGAUCUGAUCAUAUCAUCAGUUGUUCCUCCAAAACAAACAAGCACUGCGCCCCCUCAAGGUAAAGUACUGACCACAAAAUUAUUACCGAUGGAUUUUUUUGUAUUAAAAUUACCCUUGUUAUUCUUUCAAUUGAUAUCGUUCCAUCGGUAACUCCAGCCGAUCAACCUAUAGUACCGGCCGCAUCUCCUCGUCAAAGGCGCGAGAUCGCUCUGAAGCAAGUAAGUCUCUGAUCUCUACUCCCCCCAUUUUUUAACAUUUAAUUACCAAAUAACUUAUCUCUGCUCCUUUUUCAGGAGCAAGACUCUCAAGACAGUCUAUUCUCCUUCGCUAUCAAUAUUUCCGAUGAUGAGGGUGAAGAAGCGAGCUCCUCCCAAGCAGUAGGAGUUUCAUCGGCAGAAAUCAAAGCCAUGCUGGAAGACCUGUUGGUCCUGCUGCAUCGAGAUACUGCCUAGUUGGUCGAUGACUCCGAUCCAGCCAAAGCUCUGUUUAAAACCAUUCGAGGCCAAAUCCCAGCCGACGCAGAAGAAAUCUUGUUUCAAGCCGCACACUUGGAAAGCCGUCAGCUCCAGUACCAGAAGGCUACCCAACGUCUCGCCGACAGAACUGCUCACGCUCAACUCAAAGAGGAAGUAAUGCAAGUGUAGCGUCUUGCCGAUGAGAAACAUAAGAGCAUCGGCAUUCUGCAGUUCUCAGGGGAAACACUGAAGCAGAAGAUUUCGGAACUAUCGGCAAGAAGGGAAGCCCUGUUGGCUGAGCUCAAGCAAGUGGAAGAGGCCUUGUCUCAAGCUCAGCAAGAAGAAAGCCAACUGCCAGAAAUGAUCAAGACUCUUCAGCAAGAAUGAAACACUCAGGCUCGGAAGGCACUGCAAAUGAAAAAGAAGCUGAAGCCAAUAGAGGGCUCUGCCGAUGAGGACAUCCGAGAGAUAGAAGAAGCCGACCAAAUCCGCCUACGCGCCAUAUCGGCCAUCCAAGCCUUGCUGAAUGCAUGAGCUCUUCAUCCUCAACUUGUCUCGUUCUGCCUUUAGAAACUCUUGAUUAUUCUGGUCUAGCCGAUAGGACUGUUAUCGGCACCUUUUAAAACAUCGUGCGUGAUCUCAAAUACAUUUCGUCGAGCCGAUAGGAGUGUUAUCGGCACUUAAACUUUUAUGAAUCAACCCAAAUGCUUGGGUAAUACUUCUUUAGAUAUUUUCCAUUCAAUGCUCUGGGAAAUUCAACUCCUUCGAGAGUUUUCAAAAUAUAAGCAUUACCAGGAGCAGACCGAUUUAUCCGAUAAGGACCUUCCCAAUUAGGAGACCAUUUUCCAAACUUUGAACUUUUAGUCCCAAUCGGUAAAAUUAAUUUCCACACCAAAUCUCCAUCGGCAAACUCCUUAGCUUUUACCCUUUUAUCAUACCAUCUAGCAACUCUCUUUUUAUUUUCUUCUAUACUUAUCAAAGCUCUCAACCGAUGCUCUGUCAAAUCAUUUAACUCAUCUUUCAUCAAGGUAUCAUAGUCAUCGGCAGCCAAUUGAUCUUGAAAAGAGACCCACAUAGAUCCAGUCUUAAUCUCCCAUGGUAGCCCCGCAUCGUGUCCGUACACCAACUGAUAAGGUGAAGCUUUGGUCGAUCCAUGACAUGCCAUCCGAUAUGACCACAAAGCUUCAUUCAACAAUGUAUGCCACCUUCUAGGAUUUUCUUCAACUUUUCGCUUGAUGAGCUUAAUAAUCCCUUUGUUAGAUGCUUUGGCUUGUCCAUUGGCUUGAGCAUAAUAAGGAGAAAAUUUCAACACUUUAAUCCCCAUACCGAUUGCAAAUUCAUCAAACUCUCCCGAUGUAAACAUAGUACCCUGAUCGGUAGUGAUUGUUUGAGGAAUACCAAAUCGGUAAAUCAAUCAUGUGAGUCGAUGUUACUUUCUUCAAAGGAAUAGCUUCAACCCACUUAGUAAAAUAGUCAAUGGCAACUAGGAUGAACUUAUGCCCCUUACUUGAUGGUGGAUAAAUCUGGCUGAUCAGAUCAAUAGGCCAUCCCCGGAACGGCCAAGGCUUAAUAAUAGGAUUCAUGGCCGAUGCGAGUGCCCUUUGAAUAUUGCCAAAUCUUUGACAUCCUUUGAAAUAUUUAAAGCAAUCCUCAAGUAUGGUCGGCCAAUAAUACCCGUUUCUCUUGAUCAUCCAUUUCAUUUUAAAAGUCGACUGAUGCGCUCCACAUACUCCUUCUAGAUCUCACCCAUCAAGCUUUUAGCCUCAUCAUCACCCAAGCACUUGAGUAAAUCUCCAUCUAUCGUUCGAUAAUAUAACUCUUCUCAAAGGAGUACAUACUUGGUAGCUUGAAACCUAACACGCCUCUCAACCUUUUUAGAUGGAUCUUUUAAGUAAUCAAUGAUUUCAUUUCGCCAAUCAUCGGCACUGAUUGCCGAUAACACAUUUAAGAUAGGUUGAUACCCCGAGGCAUGCUGAGCCAACCGAUUAGCCUCUUCAUUAUUUAAUCGAGGAACAUGCUCCAAUCAGAAAUCCUUGAAUUCCCUCAAUAGUUGUAUGCUCUUUUCAUAAUAAGUUAUCAAAACUUCACUUCGGCACUCAUAAAUUCCAGCCAAUUGAUUUAUAACAAGCAUAGAACCGCCGAAGAUUUCAACAGUAUCAGCAUGAACCUCUUUUCACAAUUCUAACCCUUUGAUCAAAGCUUGAUAUUCAGCUUGAUUAUUCGUUGACAUGGCAACAAUCGGCAAAAGAAAACUCAUACUUGUUUCCUCGAGGAGAAAUUAGUACUAUACCGAUUCCUACCCCCGGUCACACGUGGACCCAUCAAAGAAGAGCGUCCAAGGAACGAUUUCCAAAGUCUCUACUACACCGCAAUGCUGAGUCACAAAAUCGGCCAUAAUCUGCCCUUUAACUACCUUAGCCGAUUCAUAGUGCAGAUCAAAUUCCGACAACGCCAAAAUCCAUUUGCCGAUUCUACCACUCAUAAUCGGCAUAGAUAGCAUAUACCGGACUACAUCAUCUUUGCAUAUAACAGUGCAUUCGGCAGAUAGCAGAUAGUGUCUCAACUUGACACAUGAAAAGAAUAAGCAUAAACAUAGUUUUUCAAUUGCUAAAUACCUUGUCUCAGCAUCAACCAGUCUUCUACUCAAAUAAUAAAUCACACGUUCCUUCCCUUCAAAUUCUUGAAGUAGAGCUGAACCGAUGACCAUUUCAUCGAAAGAUAAAUACAAUUUGAAAGGUUUUCCUUGCUGAGGUGGAAUCAGAACUGGAGGGUUUGUCAAAUAAUUCUUGAUUUCGUCCAUUGCUGACUGUUGCUCUCUUCCCCAUACAAACUCUUGAUCGGCUUUCAACUUAAGUAAAGGACAAAAAGCACGAAUCUUACCUGGCAAGUUAGAUAUAAUUCGCCUAAGAAAAUUUAUCUUGCCGAUCAGAGAUUGGAGUUCAGUCUUAUUGGUGGGAGCAACUAUUUUGUUGAUAGCAUCAAUAGAUCUCCUACUAAUUUCAAUUCCCCUCUGAUGUACCAUGAUACUAAUAAUUGUCCUGCCGAUACACCAAAUGCACACUUAUUAGGAUUCAUUUUUACACCAUAUUUCCUUGUGCAUUCCAACACCUUUCGUAGAUCCGCAAGAUGCUUUGUAAAAUCUAUAGACUUAACCACCACAUCAUCAAUAUAAAUUUCCACCAACUUGCCAAUGAACUCAUGAAAGACAAAAUUCAUAGCCCUCUGAUAAGUAGCACCAGCAUUUUUCAAGCCAAAAGUCAUGACUAUCCAUUCAAACAAUCCAACAUGACCAGGACAUCUAAAUGCAGUCUUUGGAAUAUCUUCUUCAGCCAUGAAUAUUUGAUUGUAUCCUGCAUUGCCAUCCAUAAAGCUAAUGAUCCGAUGUCCAGCUGCAGCAUCAACUAGCAAAUCGGCAACUAGCAUUGGAUAACCAUCCAUCGGUGUAGCCUUGUUAAGAUUCCUAAAAUCAAUGCAGACACAAAGCUUCACAUUCUUCUUGUAACUGAAACGACAUUAGAAAUCCACUCGGCAUACCGACAUUGCCGAAUAAAUAUAGCUUCAAUGAGUUUAGUUAUCUCGGCCUUAAUAUCAGGAAGAAUAUUAGGGUUGCAUCGGCGAGCUGGCUGCCGAUGCGGCCAAAAUCCAGAUUUGAUAGGUAACCGAUGUUCAACAAUCGAUCGGUCUAAACCAGGCAUCUCAGUAUAAUCCCAAGCAAAGCAAUCUUUAUAUUCUUUUAACAAAUCGGUUAACUGCUGCUUACACUCAGAAUCUAACUUAGCACUAAUAGAAGUAGGCCUUGGCCUAUCACCAUUACCUAUAUCUACCUCUACUAAAUCAUCGGCCGAUGUAAAGCCCUAGCCUAAUUUUCUAUCAUCGGCGAACCUAUCCAUUAAAACUCCUCAUCACAACCGACUGCUUGGAUCGGUGGAAUUUCAUAAUCGGUGACCUUGAGAAAAUCCAUUUCCCAAACCUCCCCUGAAAUGCAUCUAGUCUUUUCAUAAGUAUCUGCUUCUGCCGAUGCAAUGACAUACGCAGAAUCUCCUGGGACAAUUUCAAUCUUGUCACCUACCCACUGAACCAAGCACUGGUGCAUUGUAGAUGGGAUGCAACAAUUGGCAUGAAUCCAAUCUCUUCCCAAUAGCAAAUUAUAAGCACCCUUUCCACUGAUGGCAAAGAAAGUUGUCGGCAAGGUUUUGCUACCGAUGGUCAACUCAACACAUACGGCUCCCUUGACUGGAGACACAUUCCCUUCAAAAUCCUUUAGCAUCAUAUCGGUCUUGGUCAAAUCUUGAUCUCCCAUCCCAAGCUUCCGAUAAACUGCAUACAGCAUAAUAUUAAUAGCAGCCCCACCAUCAACAAGUAUCUUGGUCAUCGGCUGUCAAUCAACCCUGCCUUUGACGAACAAAGCUUCAAGAUGCUGUCUCUCAUUAUCGGCGGGCUUUUCAAAAAUAGCCAUCAUCGGAUCCAGAGCCAACUGAGCUAUCUGAUCGGGAAAAUCUGCCUCCUCAUCAUCACUAAAAGGUGCAAGGAAUUCCAUCGGCAACAUAAACACCAUAUUAUCGUCUGCCGAUGGACCUUUUCCUUUAGGACCUGACUGCUGCCGAUCUCGAGUCUUAGUAGAAUUUUCUUCUCUACUCAGUUCUUCUCGUCGCUCCCGUUGCAGCUGUUGGGUAUUUUAAAUGCAAACAGAAAAAUCCGCAAGCGCAAGGAUAUCGAUGUAGCUUUCACCCGGGAGUAUUCCAGAGUAUCGAUUUUCCAUAGGGAACAUGAGUGUACUAAUUAAGAUUCAAGAUCGCCAAAGGAUAACUAUAUAAUUAUUUUUGGUGGGAAUAGAGGAAGUUCCCUGAGAGUUCUCUAGUUGAUCUAAGAAUCAAGAAUUACUUCAAAGAUUAUUUAUUUCGGGACAUGAGAACACUAACCACAGAAAGAGAUGAGAAGGGGCUACGAAGCUCUGACUACGGUCCUACAAACACCGAUCCGAACAAGGUGGAAUACGUCGACCGUUAGGGCUGUCACUACCCUAGGGUUACCACAACAAUCCGCAGGGUUGGGUGCAAGUCCAGGUAAUUGCAAGACUAAACACCACGUCUAAUCUAUUAAAUACUACUCUAGCAUUGCAAAGACUAGAGCACUUGAUGCAAACAGGAUUCCAAUAAAUAACUUGAAUGUAAAUAAAAGUAAUUAAAGAACUCAGGAAUUAUAAAUUGAAGAACUUGGAGAACGAUGAAGAACGAACCAGUUGCUGCAAAAGUACAAUGUUGAGGAAGAUCCGACAGAUCCGGCUCCUCCUCCGCUCUCCUCUUCUCUCUCCCUAUUUUCUAGAUUACAACUAGAACUAACUAGAACUAGAACUAGAUGAACUAGAACUAGAACUAGAUGAACUAGAGGGAUCCUAUCUACUUGGAUGAAUAAUUGAAACCCUAGCUUUGAUUCUGUAGAAGAGAUAUGCCUCCAGGGGCUGGUGGGGGCUUGCUUAUAUAGCCCCUCCAAAUGAAUAUGAGCCGUCGGAUCAAACCGACCUUAAUCGCACGGUUUUCCUUAAUCCUUUAGGUCGGUGGAGCAUAAUCCGCGAGGCGAAGCCUGAUUGGCUCCUGUAGCUGGGCGGGCGCCCUAGGGGAGAGGGCGGGCGCCCUGCCCCCGGGCCCGCUUGGCCUCCCGUUCGUUCCCGUGGCUUCUGGAGUCUUCUAGAUGAUAGAAAAUUGGCGCACACAUUAAUAUCUCUAUGUAAACCCGACGUGUGGGCUUUUCCUCCAUUUUUCCUGAUAACCCCCUACAGAAAUAGACAAACAGCAAAACUCGUGGAAUUCUGUCAGAUAAAACCCUAAGUCUGGGUGUUGGUUGCAUAUAAGUCCUUUUUCAUGAUUAGUUGACGGUUAAAUGUGAGCAUUAAGGACCGUCAACAAGCUCCCCCAAGCUUAACCUUUGCUCGUUCCUGAGCAAAGCUAAAAUCAGUAAGAAAACAGAGGUUACUUUUAUGCGUCUUGCUACAGGGUUUUUUAAGUUAUCACUAAGGUCUUAAGUGAUUGAAAAACAGAACGAUCAAGUCAAGCACUAUGUCUCAGGUUCUUCUGUCUUACCUUUGUUCUGGAGUUUUUUAUAAGUUUCCUAAAAUAAAACUGAAGCAUUUGCCUUCUUCUCGAAAGAUAUAUAAGUAGAGCUUUAAAAGUUUUUAGCAUACUUACUUUGCAUUUUGCUAUGUGAAUGCUCGGAGCAAGGGAGAGGAAUGUCAUACUCCUAGAUCAAGACCUUUGACCUUUUUGAAAAGUUUUUCACCUCAUACUGGCAUAUUGCUUAUUAAAGGGACCAUGGGCUAUAAUUUUUUUUCUUUCUUUUUUUUCAGUCUCUCUCUCUUUUUUUUCAAGUGGGCACCAAGUACCCCCAAUUCUACUAUCGGACACGUGUCUGUUGACAUUCGUUAAGUGCAAUAAGAAUAAGAAAAAUUCCGCGAGCGCACAGAACAUCAUCGUAGCAUUUUACCGGGAGUAUUCCAGGUAUCGUUAUUUAUAUUUUACCACUGGGAAGCUAAGGUCAAAGAAUCUGAUAACUUACUAUCAUGCCUCUACUAAUUUAAUAAACCAACUAGACUAAAGUAGGGGUAAAUGAUAUAUGAUAGGUAAUAAUAUAAAGAUGAGAAUUCUAUGAUAAAUGCGUAGAUACCCAUAGCGGGAGGACAACGGGAGAGACCUAGGUUCCUGUAUACUUCUCUAUAACUUCAGUUAUAUGAUAACAAAGAAUGAAUAGAUAUAGCAAUCACAUACUAGCACUUUGGGACAUCAGAACACCAACCACAGAAAGAGAACUGGAAGGGGGCUGGGAAGCUCUGACUACGGUCCUACAAACACCGAUCCGAACGAGGUGGAAUACGUCGACCGUUAGGGCUGUCACUACCCUAGGUCUACCACAACAAUCCGCAGGACUGGAUGCAACCUCAGGUAACCUCUAGUAUAGACACCAUGUCUACACUAACGAUUACUACUCUAAUUACCAUGAAUAACUAGAGCACUCGAUGCGAACGAAGAUCCUAUGCCAAAAUAUAACAACUACACUACUCGAUAAUAAUAAAGGCGUAAAAGUAAAUAGAGAAAAUAAAUAUAUUAAAGCAUAAGUCUUACAAUAAAGACAUACCAAAACUCUGAAGACUUCUCCAGAACCGAAGCACAGCUCUGCUCUCCCUAACUCCCAACUAGGACUAAUCUACUACAUUAGAAUGUCUAGCCCUAAUUCUCUAUAGAGGAAAGGUUAUCCUUCGAGGGCACCUCUCAACUCUAUAAUGAUGUGUUCUCCUCCAAGGGCCAAGGGCCUUGCUUAUAUAGUCCUCCUCCUUUGUGCGUUUUCGGUUCAGCAGGCGAUGUGUUACUAAACUUUCCACCAUAUCUCAUUAAAAUGCAUAUAGACCUUAAUAGACCAAAAUGUGAUUUGGGCCCAAUUAAUCCCGCACCUCUUUUAUGUGGAGUCCUUCUUUUAUUAAUAUCUCUUGAUUCCGAACUCCAAAUAUAGCAAAUAAUAUAUGCAUUUCGAUCAGCUCGACGAGAUCUUUGUAAUGGUGUACUCCAUUCUGUGAUUGGAGCUUGUACCAGGGCGGGCGCCCUAGGAUCAAUGGCGGGCGCCCUGGUCCCAGGCCCAUCUCGGCUCUGCGGGCGCCCUAGGAUUAUGGAAAAUUACCACACACAUUAAUUCUCUAUGUAAACCUAACAUGUGGGCCUUUCAUUCGUAUUUCCUGAUAACCCCCUGUAGAAAUAGACAAACACCAAAACUCGUGGAAAUCUAUUAGAUGAAACCCUAAGUCUUGGUGUCGGUUGCAUUUGGAUCCUUUUUCAUGAUUAGUUGAGAGUUAAAUGUGAGCAUUAAGGACCGUCAACAGUGUCCAUUUUUUUCACUCAGGUGGGUAUCUUUGUACCCCUAAUUCUACUUCGGACACUUGUCCAUUUUUACCUCUCGUCUAACUUUUUUUUCGAAUCACAUUUUUGCAUAGUCCCAUGCCUCUAACGCAAUAAUUCUUCAGAAGAGUGAAUCUUUUAUAUGUUUUAAACAAAAAGAUCUUGAUCUUUGGAGCAUGUGUUGACACUUGCUAACACCACUUGAAUACUAGGUGGUCAUCUCCAGCAUGGCACUAGAGUGUACUAUGGUAUUUAUACGCACACAGAUAAAUCCGCAAGCGCACGGAUACCGUUGUAGCUUUUACCCGGUUAAAGGUUUUAUCGUAUCCACAGGGAAACAGGAGAAUUGGUCUAUGCUCUAACUUAACCUAGAUAGAUAGGUAGGAAAGAUGGUAGAGUUGAAUAAGAACAGUAUUAAAGGUAAGAUAACAAUAGGUGAUAAUAUGGGAAUAUAGAGUAGAGCAAUCUAGUAUAUGGGCGAUGGUAGGAGAAUAGAGAGGAUAACUAUGGUUUCUCUACUUCAAAGGGGUAUGUCUAUGUCUGGGACGAACCACGUGAUAAGAAUACACCACAAAGGAUGCUUAUCCAUAGGCCGAUAAACCCUACCAGUCCCGCUAACGGGAGGUGGACUACAGAGGACCAACGUAGGUGUCACAUACGCGGCCUACCACACGAUCCGGCUAGACAGAGGAUAUCCACAAGUAAUCUAGGUGUAAGCACCAUGCUUACACCUAUACUACAACUCUCACCUAUAGCGUCCUAUAGAUUAAAGUACUCAAAAGAGUUGUGAACCAAAACAUACAUGGAUAGUAAUUGCACAAUGUAAUAAGAAGUAGAUUACCAGAGUCAUCCCAUGAGCAAGCUUGAUUAGAGCUUAAUCAUGGCGAAGUACAACCGGAGGAAGAACCGACAGGCCGGCCUCUCCUCCAAUCCUCCCUCGCUCUCCAUCUCGCUACUAUCUAGAUCUACUCUAGUUUAGAGAAGAGAGGAGAGCUCUCAUCUCCAAACCCUAGCUUUUCCUCUGUCUAUGAAUAAUGAAUAGGGAUCAAGGGGUGCCUCCUCUAGGGGCCAGGGGGUCUGCUUAUAUGGCCCUUCCAAGUGAAUGUGGGCCGUCAGAUCAAACCGACCUUAAUCGCAUGGUUUUCCUUGAUCCUUUUGGUCGGUGGAGCAUAAUCCGUGAGGCGGAGCCUGAUUGGUCCAGAUGACAGGGCGGGGGCCCAAGGGGGGAGGGCGGGCGCCCUGCCCCCGGGCCCGCUCGGCUUCCCGUUCGUUCCCGUGGCUUUUGGAGUCUUCUAGAUGAUAGAAAAUUACGCGACAUGUUAAUAUCUCUAUGUAAACCCGACAUGUGGGCCUUUCCUCCAUAUUUCCUGAUAACUCCCUAUAGAAAUAGACAAACACCAAAACUCGUGGAAUUCUGUCAGAUAAAACCCUAAGUUUGGGUGUUUGUUGCAUUUGGAUCCUUUUCUUUGGUUAUUUGAUAAUUAAAUUUGAUACUUAAGGACCGUCAACAACUCCCCCAAGCUUACCUCUUGCUCGUCCCUGAGCAAGGAUGGACUCAAGAGUUUCUGCAGUGGUUUCAAGCCUUAAAGGUACACAUGCAUUCAAACAAGAUCUCAUCUCUGGGUUAGGGUAAACUGUUAAGAUUUAAACUUACUCAUAUUACCUUCCACCAUGGGGCUUGCAGCCGUCACUUGUGUCUUGAGCAGUUAAAAGAUAGAACGGUCAAGUCAAGCGCCAUGUCUCUUGUUCUUGAUCAACUAUAGCUCUGGAGUUUUUGCAGAUUUUCAAAUAAAACUCAGAGAUUCCUUGUAUGACUCUCUCUAGUCUCUCUUUUGUGGUUUUUCUGGAUCCUUACCAAGGCAGUAAUGGUGUAUGCCUUCUCUCAAAGUAUGUGGUAUUUUUGGUAUGAGGCAGUGACAUUGCCUUCUCUCUCACCCUACUCUAAUAAGGUUUUGAUAUCUGGAGCUCAUAGGUGGGAGACAGCUAAUACAUACUUACAAGACAUUUAUUGCAUAGUCAAACCAUGGAUCUAGAGAAACAAGUCAAUAAGUCAGAUCAAGAUGUGCAUGUGUGGCGAAUGAAUGGUGUAUGGUGAUGAUGGUGAAAACAAUGGUGAAAGUCUAAUUCUACUUUUGCUCUUUUGAGGGGAUACAUACCUUUCAUGCACUUUGAAGCUUUUUAAGGGGGAAUGAGAUGCUCUAUAUAUUUUUUUUAUUUUCUAUCAGGUGGGUAUCUUGUACCCCUAAUUCUACUGUCGGACACUUUUCAAUUCUACUGUCGGACACUUUUCCAUUUUUACCUCUCGUCGUACUUUUUAUUUUCUUCGAGGUUCCGGGCACUUGCCCCUUUUUAUUUCCUCGUAUUUUUCACUUUUUUUUCUUUUUUUAAAGCACUCACCCUCCUGGAAUAAUGCAGCAAGUGGUAGUAACCAAAAUAUCUCAAGCAUUUAUUUCACUAGGAAAAGCAGGAAUGGGAUAAUGUUUUUGGCUAUUCUCUCCCGGAUAGGAGUAGAAUAAUUUUGGGUGAAUCUGGAGAUGGAAAUGAGGUGAUGUAUGUGGAUGCGUACUUCCCGAGUAGAAGCAGCAUGUAUGAGUGAACGUGCAAGUGAAUCUUGAUUUUAACGGCUUGACAAGCUCCUUAAGGGUCUACAUAGCUUGACCACACUCAAUGCUCAUAAGUAGUAAAAAGUAAAUGUAUGGUUCCUAGUUGUUGACGGUCCUUAAUGCUCACAUUUAACUGUCAACUAAUCAUGGAAAAAGAUCCAAAUGCAACCAAUACCCAGACUUAGGGUUUUAUCUGACAGAAUUCCACAAGUUUUGGUGUUUGUCUAUUUCUGCAGGGGGUUAUCAGGAAAUACGGAAGAAAGGCCCACACGUCGGGUUUACAUAGAGAUAUUAACUUGACGCGCAAUUAUCUACCAUCUAGAAGAGUCCAGAAGCCACGGGAGUGAACGGGAGAUGUGACGGAGCCGGGCACUGGGCGCCCGCCCUCCCUUACUGGGCGCCCGCGCUCCCCCCUGGACCAAUCAGGGCGAAGCUCAGGGAUCAUGCUCCACCGACCUAAUACUUCAAGGAAAACCACACGAUCAAUGUCGGUUUGAUCCGACGGCCCAGAUUCAUCUGAAAAGACUAUAUAAGCAAGGCCCCCUGGCCCCUGGAGAUCAUACCUCUUCUACAGAAUCAAAGCUAGGGUUUCAAUUCUUCAUCCAAGUAGAGAGGAUCCCUCUAGUUCUUCUAGUUCUACCUCUAGUUCAUCUAGAUCUAGUUCUAGUUCAUCUAGUUCUAGUUCUAGUUCCUCUAGUUUUAGUUCUAGUUGGUUCUAGUUGUAAUCUAGAAAAUAUGAAGAGAGAAGAGGAGAGAGUUGGAGGAGCCGGAUCUGUCUGAUCUUCCUCAACAUUGUACUUUUGCAGCAACUGGUUCGUUCUUCGUCGUUCUCCAGGUUCUUCAAUUCAUAAUUCCUGAGUUCUUUAAUUACUUUUAUUUACAUUCAAGUUAUUUAUUGGAUUCCCGCUUGCAUCAAGUGCUCUAGUCUUUAUAACGCUAGAGUAGUAAUUAAUAGAUUAGACGUGGUGUUUAGUCUUGCAAUUACCUGGAAUUGCACCAAAUCCUGCGGAUUGUUGUGGUAGCCUUAGGGUAGUGAUAGCCCUAAUGGUCAAUGUAUUCCACCUCGUUCGGAUCGGUGUUUGUAGGACCGUAGUCAGACCUUCCUAGCCCCCUUCUCAUCUCUUUCUGUGGUUUGUGCUCUGAUGUCCCAAUAUAGAUAAUCUUGAAGUAAUUCUUGAUUCUUAGAUCAACUAGAGAACUCUCAGGAAACUUCCUCUCUUCCCACCAAAAACAAUUAUAUAGUUAUCCUUGGGCGAUCUUGGAUCUUAAUUAGUACACUCAUGUUCUCUGUGGAAAAUCGAUACUCUGGAAUACUCCCGGGUGAAGGCUACAUCGGUAUCCGUGCGCUUGCAUAUAUUUUCUGUUUGCGUUUAAAAUACCCAACAAGCUUUCCGGCGCCGUUGUCGGGGAACGGUAGCUGUGCUAGUUUCGAACCAAGUCAUCCGUGUAUCCUUUUUCUUUUCCUUUUUUACCACACUCACCUUACCAUUUUCACCACACCACAUGGAUUUCACUCUAAGCAUUAAUGAGCAUGGAAUUUAUUUCAUAGCCACUUCAUUUGCUCCAUGCUCAUAUGCAACAUCUUCCCAAUCCAUUGGUUUUUCCAACAUCCCCACAUUCGAGAUCUCCAACCCCCUCAUCCUUUCUAUUUAUAAAAACUUUAAAAGGGCGGUUGUCGAUGCAUAUGUCUAUAUUAAAUAUUGCAGAUCUCGUUUAGUUGAUCUUGAUAUAGGUCAGCGUUGGAGGGGAAACCACUUCACUGACAUAAAUUGAUGGUUUCCCGAGGACAAGCUUAGUGUCCUAAAAUAAGCACUGAUCAGAUCGUAACAUGAGCUUUUAAUUAUUUGCAACAUUACCUUGUGUAUUGAGCAUAUAAGAAUAAUUGUAAAAAAUUCCCUCGGGUAUUCUUGUCACUAACCUUUUCAGGAUUGGAGCAAGAAGAUUGGAUGAAUGAUAAGCACAAGGUAUGUCCAACCAAUCAUCAUACAACAUUGAAUUAAAUUCAUCCAAACUUGAAUUUUGCAAAAUUCAAGCUUGGGGGAGUACUUUACAUAAAAACAUCCUUUGCCAUGUUGCUAUGUUGGUUGUCCCUACCUUUGAGACAUGCUCAAUUUGUUAAAUACUAAUCACACUACUUCAUCUCCACUUGAGUAGAUCUCUAUAAAUGCUCUCAUGCUACCUUUAUUUGCUUUAGUAUAUGUCUAGGUUUGGAGUAGUUUCAUUUGUCUCUUAAUUAAGCAUGGUGCUUAGUUUAGGGCUGAUGAUCUUACUUCCAAGGGAGUUUAAAUUAAGCAUGAUGCUUAGGUUAAAAUGCCCUCCUAAAUCAAAUUAGACAUGGUGUCUAGGUUGAUUUUUGAGCUGAUAGUAUGCUAUAGUAGAUAUUGGAUAUUUUGUUGGACUAACCCCUGCAGGAAAACUUUCAAUAUCGACCUGGAAAGUCCUGAGCUAAACUCACAUUGGAGACAAAGAGAGAGACACAUGAAGUUUAACAAUUUACACAAGGAAGGCAUAGCUCACAAGAGAUGAUCCAUGGAGGGUGCCACAAACACGAUGCACAACCGCUAAGAGAGGAAAGCUUCCACAAGGUGAUACUGUACCAUCACUCUUCAAGUAAGGUAAUAUCUUAAGGUACUUGACUAUCAUUUUUAUAAGCUUCUCCUUGGUUCUAGCGUCCACAUGAAUAAAGAGAAACAUGUAUGAUUUACAACUCUAGAUUAACUAACCCAAUCAAUUCAACAUGUUUAGUCCUUCCACCUUUGUGAUCCCACACUCCUAAUCAUAUGAGCUAAAAUGUUGCACAUGCAAUCUUUGGAAGAUAUAUAUAAAAAAACAUAAGUAUAGAUAGAUUAUCUUUCCAUUAGGUUGAGCCAUCUGAUCUGACAAAUGUUUCAAAUGCUACACUCAUGAUCCUAUCAACUUUGUCUUGCUUACUAUGCUUAAGCUUAGAGAAGAAAAAAAUACACUUUUGGUUCUGUUGGUGUUUUCCACCAACAGGGCCCAUGCACUUGAUCUCUACCUUGUCUCUAUGAGCAGGUACACUUCGAGCAAAAUAUGAAGGACUUUUACAACUCCCAGACUCCAUCAAGUGAAGAACCUAGAUCUACGAGCACAAACACACUGGAGAUACUGGACACUCAGGCAAUCACUGCCCUGAGAUGCUUGAGGACGUAACUACUAGAGUAACCCCAUUGUGGAAGUAAUUACUAACCUUCUACCGGUCAAGAGAGACAAUCCAGGACGCCCCGUCAUCUCGAUCUCCAUCGGCAUGGUGGACUUCCUAGAAGCACUCUGCGACUUUGGCUCCUGCGUCAACAAUAUGCCCAGGCUUGCAGAUCGGACACUAAGUUUCCCAAAGGGAAUAUUGAAGAACCUCUUCGUCCGUGUUGGUACCUUGUACGCUCCAGGACACCCAUCAUCUUCGGGAGGCCAUUCCUGAACACCUCGGGAGCUGUCAUCUACGUUAGUGCUGCCAAGAUCAGUUUCUACAUCAAGGGGAGGAAGGAGAUGUUUUCCUUCAAGAACAAGACUACAUAAAUCUUAGAGCAAUCCCGUCAUGAACCAAGGAAGAGGACCAACAGGAGGAACAGGAAUGAGCAAAUGUGGACCAAGUCAGCUAAGAUGGUCACUGUAGUUCAAGGAGGUCAAGAUCGUCGACUUAAGUCACCGUUCCUGACCAAAAAGGACGACCCAGUCACCUAUCAGCUCCUGUUCGGAACCAUGCCCCUAAAACCGAUAUACAUUCAGCUCCAGAUGAUUUGAAGGUUAUUGACAUAGGAGAAGACGAGUACGAUCCACCCAUCAUCCUUGGAAGACCGUUCCUCAGCACCGUUAAAGCAAUCAUCUACAUUGGAACCAGAGAAGUCCACAUGCACUUCCCCUCUGAUAAGGUACGCCGCUAUUUUACUAACCUUAACUAUAUAGUUAAAGACUCUAAGCAGGUCAGGACAAGAAGAAGACGACGCAACCGCAACUAUAGGAGGCAAAUCAUCAAAGACAGAUGGGCAGACUACGAAGGAGAAGUAGUAAGGUCUGAAGACAUACAGCUUGAACAGAACUGUCCUGAGGAGACCGUAGCACCGAGUCAGGUGUGGAGAGAGAAGAUAGUUAUACAUGAAGAGGAGGUGCUGCCGGAACCACCGACUACGCCAUCCAGCGAAUCCCAAGACGACUGAGAAAACGGAGAGUCCCGUUCGGAGGACUUAAACACACCGAACGCCUUGCCAAGAGGUAAACUUGGUAGUUAUCUUUUCAAUAAUUUUCUUAGUUAAUCAGGUUCAUAUCAUCUCGAAAAGAAAAUAAAAAUGUUAAAAAAUAGUAAGCCCCAUGUGAGUAUGCUCAUGGCAUAAAACCCAUAAGUACAUUCACUGUGGUGGCAUAAAAAAAUGAAAUAAAUAUAUUCCUAUCCUAUAAAAAUAAAAUUAUAAAAAUAAAUUUAUCAUCCUACUAAAGAGUGUAACAUUUAUUGAGGAGGCUCAACAUGAUAAAGGCUAAAUAUUUAUGCUAACACUUAACUAGUUCCACAAAGCUUUGUUGUCUAUUUGAGCUCCACAGAUUUCAAGGAUCAAAGAAGAAUAGUAGGCGGAGGACAUCCUAAUCACUGUCAGGGUGCUGCCGACAUUCAAAUACACCUCCACCACCUGCUAGCUACAUCAGAAGGAAUUACGGCAAAAUGCAGCUUGGGGGAGAGCACCCCCAUUUAUCCAGCUAAGUGUUCUACUCAUGUUUAUACUUUACUCAAAUAAUAAAAAGAUGCAUAAUCAUAGAAACCCAAAUAAAAAUUUUGUGCUUAUAUAUAUAUCUUUGCUUAGUUUGCUAAAUAAAUAAAUAAAUAAAGUCUGCUAUGAACCCUCAUGAUAGCUCACACAUGGAAAUGAUGAAUAGUUGUUCUGCCAUGACUAGUUCUCAAAAUUAAAAUCUCUCUCAAGUUUAGGCAUGACUGUUACUAAUUGAGAUUUGCUCUAAACCUAAACUUGUGGGAAGAGUACUUGAUCUAAUGUCUAAGUCGUUAACAGAUACGAUAUGGGAAGGUUGAGCUACUGUUUAUAUGUUCCUAAAGAUGCUAGAAUUCUAGAGAAUUUUAUCUUUGAAAAUCUUUAAAAUGUUGCAUGAUGAGUUCCUGUAUGAUGAGAGUUUAAAUUCCUACCACAGCCAUAUAUACAUGCUUGCUAAACUUUGAGCCACACAUUUACUUUUUACUGCUUAUGAGCAUUGAGUGUGGUGAAGCUGUGUAGACCCUUAGGAGCUUGUCAUGUGGUUAAAUAAAGAUUCACUGGCACGUUCACUCAUACAUGCUGCUUCUACUCCGGAAGUACGCAUCCACAUAUAUCCACCCAUUUCCAUCUCCAGAACCACCCAAAAAUAUUCUACUCCUAAUCUGGGAGAGAAUAGCCAAAAAUAUUUCUGUUUUUCCCCUAUGAAAUAAAUGCUCAAGUUAUCUUGGUUACUACCACUUGCUACAUUAUUUCAAGAGAUGAGUGCUCUAAAAAAAGAGAGAAAAAAAGAUACGAGGAAAUAAAAAGGGGCAAGUGCCCGGAACCUCGAAAGAAUAGAAUAAGUGAGACGAGAGGUAAAAAUGGACAAGUGUCCGACAGUAGAAUUAGGGGUACAAGAUACCCAACUGAGAGAAAAGAAAAAGAAAAUAUAGAGCAUCUCGUUCUCCUCAAAAAGUUUCAAAAGAGCAAGAAAGGUAUGUACCCCCUCAAAAGAGCAAAAGUAGAAUUAGACUUUCACCAUUGUUAUCACCAUCAUUACCAUGCAUCAUUCAUUCGCCACACAUGCACAUCUUGAUUUGACUUAUUGACUUGUUCUUCUGGAUCCAUGGUUUGACUAUGCAAUAAGUGUCUUGUAAGUAUGUAUUAGCUGUCUCCCACCUAUGAGCUCCAGAUAUCAAAACCUUAUUAGAGUAGGGUGAG